UAAUUAAUUAAGUACUAAAUCCAAACAACUCAAACAAUGUAUUCCUUCUCUCUCUGUCACAGCAUUAACAAAUACAGCGAAUAACAGCUCAAGGUAUAAACUUGAGCAUACAAUUAAAACCAAAUUGGAAAUUUCGACGACCCAGAUGCGCAAAAAUUCGAAUUGAUGGCCAAAAAUGUAGGUUUUUUAUGAAUUGAAGCGAUUAUUACCAUUUUUGCCUCUUUUGGGGUUCUUCGGCGAUGAGGAAGGAAAGGAGGGGUUGAGAAGGGUUUGCAGAUUCCACAAGCCAUUGAACAGUGAGCGUUGAAGGUACCUUACUGGGGACUUUAAGGGCGACGCAAAGGAAGAAGAAGAAGGGAGAUAGAGGAGGGAUUGGGAGCGUGGGAUUAGGGUUUUAGGAGAGAAAGGAUAAAACAAGGGCUCCGAAGGUGAGCGAAGAAGAAGGGUUUAAAACUCGCGGAGUAUAGCAUACAAAAUUAUAUUUAUUUAUAUUAUUAAUUACUCAUCAAUAUUUUUUUAUUAUGUAAAAUAGAUUCAGUUAUUUAAGAUAAUUAUUAAAAUUCAGCUAUAAAAUUUUAUAACAAUAAAUUUAAAUUUAUAGAUAAAGUUAUCUAUAAAUUAAUAAAAAUUACUCAAUAAACUAUAAAUUUUAGUAGUAUUAGUAAAAUAAGGAUUUCAUCGUAUCUAAAAGUUUUAUAUAUUUUUUGUGUCGCAAAUUAGAUAUUUGUUGAGUAGUAGAAUACCGUAAUAUCCUAACUUGUUUUAGUAAAAUUUUACAGCCUAAUUUAUUAAUUUUUUAAAAUUUUUAUUUUUAAAUAUAUUUAUAAUGAUGACAAAGUAUAAGAUGAUAAACUAUUAAUUCUAAUAGUAUUAGUAAAAUAAGAAAUUCAUCUUAUCUUGAAAUUUUAAUAUAUUUUUUGUGUCACAAAUUAGAUAUUUGUUGAGUUUUAGAAUAUUGCAAUAUUCUAACUCGUUUAGUAAAAUUUUACAACCUAAUUUGUUAAUUUUUUAUAAUUUUUAGACAUUUAAGAUAAUGACAAUGUGUAAGAUGAUAAUAGAUACAACAUUUAAGAAAAAUUCUAUAUGUACUGCUCAAAAGUGAAAUAUAUAUCUUAUACCUCUAUUAUACAGUUCACAAAAAUUUAAAUAAAUUAAUAUAAAAAGAAGGAAUGAUGAUCGUUAGAUGAGUUGGAUAUUGAUUUUAUACCCUACUUUCGAGGUACCAGCACAAAUAAUUAUCCUUGCUGUAUUAAAAAUUAAAAAAUAAAAUUUUAAAAACUCCAAUUGUCUAAUCUAUAGUUGAGUGUAUUUUUAUUUUACCGUGAUUUAAAAUAAUUUUACUUUAUUACCAUGCAAUUUUCAUUAUACGACUAAAAAAAAUCUGCCAUCAAGCGAGACAUUAAAGUACUAAAAUUUACAACAUAAAAAGUAGCAAAUUGAUAAAUUUUACAAAACACAAGAUCGCAAAUUGUAGUGUAUACUCAAUUUUAUAGUUUAUAUCUAGUAUUUUUCAAGUCACAAGACAAAGCAUUCAGGAAUAUCUAUAAAUUUAAAACAUUCAAUUAAAUAUCUUUUAAAUUGCUUUGAAGUACAAAAAAAGUUUUCUUUUUUGAAGCAUCAUUUUAAUGUGUAAUUAUUAUUAUCGUACAGUUGUUAUUUGGAUUCUUCCUCAUCCCAUUAGCACAAAAUGAAUAGGUUGGGAGACAAUUAUUGCGGAUAAGUAAAAAAGAAAAAAAAAAAAAAAACUGAUAUAUAAACGACAAGGGCCAAAUCUCAAAUUAAAUCACCACCGCUCAAAUUUCAAUCUCAAUUUACGGUUUAAUUUUAAUUAUACGAAUGACACGGAAAUUUUGAUUCGUCAAAAGAACCUUGUCUACGGAUGACGUGGUGAACCGGGUCCAAGCAACAGUCUCCCUUCGUUUCCCUCCAAUUAAAACGCACACCGCCCUCUAUAUAUACACGUAAACAGCGGUGUUAAAAAACAAAAAAAAGCCAUUUUAAUUCAACACGGUCGUCGUUCCCGCGCCCCAACCUUCUGAAGUAGAAGAAACAACGAGGCUUCGCGAUCUCGGUAUGAUCAAAACCCUAAUCCACCCCUCUUCGAUCCCUCUUCUUCUCUCGUUUAACCUAGUUGAAGUUAAUGAGAAGCUGAACUACGGAUUCAUCGCCGAUUCGCCCUCGGAUUUCUUACUCUUUUUUUUUUUUUUUUUUUUUUUUUUUUUUUGUCGAUUUCGAGUUCUAUCGCGAGUUCUUGGAUUAGAAACUAGGGUUUAUAUCUUCGUGCUACAAUUCUCAUCUCUUAUCGAAUCUUUUCAAUCAUCUUCUUGGUUUCUUAUCAUCAAUUUCUUCACAUUUGAUGCACUCAUAUCUCAUUUCAAUAGAUUUUUUGUAGUUUUUCCCCGAUCAGAAACUAGGGUUCUCAAAUCUUUUCAUGUGCAGAUAGAUCAAUGUCGUUUCCGGCGAUAUCUUUCUAGCUCACCUUUUCCGUGUCGGUUUCUUUAUUUGCUUUCCAGAGCGGGGUCACAAUAUGGACGAAGGGAUGGGAGAUCCUGGAGGAGGGGAUUGCGAAGGCGGUGGCGAGGUUUCUGGAGGAAGACAUGCAAAUGAGAUUUAGUUCGGUAGAGUACACCAAAUACUAUACGUACGCCUCUAUCCCGAAACAAAUUUUCACUUCUUGGUCGAUUUUGAUCGUCAAUUGUUUACCCCCUCUUCUUGCAGUUGUGCUUUCAGGCUGGGCAUACAGAGUUUCAACUACUGCGAAGUGAUUUAUGACAGAUAUAAGUCGGCACUCGAGCAAAUUGUUACUUCAAUGGUAUGAUCGAAACGUAUAUAAAUGCAUGCAUGGCGAGUGCUCGCAUUGCUUCCUUAUCAUGUGUCAGAUUAUUCUUAGUGAUUGCAGUGUUUAUGAAUCGAUUUGUGCCCUCUUGUUCUGUUGUUUUAAUUUGUAUUAUGUUCUUUAAGCAUAUGGAUAUAGUAUUUGGUGUGGAACAUGCGGAGGGGUUCUUUUAUUUUAUCCUGUUUUAUCUUCAAAAAGUAUGAGAUUUGAGUAUUUGAAUUUCCAGGUCUUUAAAUCGUCUCCAACUACUGUAUAUAUAGUUAAAUUAGUCAGAUCAAACUUCUUGCAGGAGAAAUUCCGCAACGCGAUAUGGGGUUCUUGUUUUCUUUUCUUGUCCUGUUUUGCAAAUGGGACGAACUCUGAUUUUUAUUCCCAUUUUUGGUAGCAUCAUAUAUCUGACUGCUGCGUCCGGCGGAUUUUAGAAUCAGCAUUGGGUUGAAGCCGGAGAGAAAAGACUAAAUAUGUUCUCUUUUUAAUCCUCCUGAAUUCUCGUCUUCACUAAAAUUGCUGCAGCUUUUCUACACCCCAAUACCAAUAUCUGGAUGAAGGACUUCGUACUAGCAAUUUCUUUUUGAUGAUAGGGCAUCCAUCGGUGAUGAAUAAUGUUGAUCAUGAUCUAGAGUGUUCGAAUACCUUUAUGAUCAAAGGUCCUAAAAUCGACAAUUUUAGUAGAUGAAAUGAGGUAUUUGUUCUUCCAGUGAUGUAGAAGAAUUCAAAUCAAUUCACUUUCUGUUUGAAGUACUUCUCAUUAUCCAGCUCAACACUAGUGUCUCUGAUCUUAAAUUGAUUGCUCUGUUCUUUAUUUUUGUAGGCGUUUGCUCCCCUUUUUUAUUUUGGAAGAGAAGAGUCAUUUCUGUCUGUUGAUUUAGAAAGGACAACAUUUAAUUUGACAACUUACCCUAUAUGUGGCUGGCUGGUCUGUGAUGAUAUCACAUGCGCCUGGUGUACCAUAAAUUAUAUCUUAAGGACACUAUUAUAAAGGCCUUAAAAUCAAAAGUUAACCCAUUAAAUAUAGUUUGCGUUAUUUAAAGGCCUGUAUACCAAAAUUAUAAAUUUGUAUCCUACGUCUUUUGAAUCUAACUGUUAAAUUUGUUGCACUAGAUGUAUUAGAAACUAAUUGUUAAAAAAAUGAUGAAAUUUGGUUCCUAGACAUUUGAAGUGAUGUUUUGUCAAGUAGCAUUCCCUAUAAUUGAAAAUAAAGUGUAAAUAUGUGGGCUAUUGUCCUCAGAACUGCGCCCCGCAGCUUUAUUUGAUUAAAUUCUACAGCAGUCUCCUUGCAAAUGGCAAUUCAAUGUCCGCUGCAGUGAUUGUUAACUAUGCCUCUUCAGCACUCAUUUAUCUGUCCCAUUUUUCUAGUUUGGAUAUGAAAAGCCAUGGUCGAAGCUUUACGUUCAUUUAUAUGAUCUACACUGUGUUUUUAUACCUUUGUAUGCCUUGUAAUUGCUCCUUUUGUUCCUAUCCUUCACCUUAUUUAUGCAAGUUCCUUUACCCACUAGUUAGUUGCAAAUUUAUAUCUGGUACAGGUUCUAAUAGUUCUUCAUUAUUGGCAUACGCUUUCCUCCUAUUAGGUCUUGCCCUCUUUGAUGGGUAAGCGGAAUGAGUUUCUCUUGCAAGAACUUCUUAGAAUGUGGUCAAACUAUCAAAAAAUGACCAUAGUAACAUCAGAAAUUCUUGCUUAUCUUGACCGCCAUUAUGUUCCCUUUUCUUCACGUCCUCCACUAAAGACCGUGGCUGCCGGUUGCUUUUUCAAUCUGGUAAGAACAUACACUCCUUCUGGAAUGUCAGUUUAUGCUCUUAUAUCUUUAUUAGGAGGAUAAAGAAAGUUUUCUCUUGCAAUUUGUACCAAUAAAUUGUCGUUCAACGUGGACCAGAAAACAAUCAUUUACUAUGAACAAUCUACAGGUAUUUCCUAAGAGUCCGAGAACAAUGAUUGAAUCUGUGGGUGAUGCUGUAGUUUCUUUGGUAUGUCAAAUGUCUUUUGUGAUUGCUCUAUUUGUCUACACAACCAACUUUUGUCAUGUGUUAUGCAACUAAAUUUUGUGCAUCAGAUGAACCGAGAGCGUGAAGGAGAGGAGAUCAGUCACAAUCUCAUAAAUAGUUUUAUGGCUUUUACCACCGAUGGAAUUACAAUUCUCCCACAUCUAUAUGAUCCCGAUAUUGAAACCGCUAUUCGUGAUGGUGCCUUUUCUUAUUAUUCCCGAAAAGGUUUUGUGUGGUUUAUGAGAUGUACUUUCAAUUAUGUUUCGAAGGUAAUUAUAAUUAAUAUUGCUUGAGCACCUGAUUAGAGAAAUACAUAGGACAUAAGCCAAUCAGAAUUAACCUUGUAUUUUUUUUUUAUCUUCAGUAUAAAGAAUGUCUGAUAAUGGAGAGCGAGAGGGCUGCUCGCUAUUUGAUUUUGAGCAGGGAUUUUCAGAGGCACUAUUUCGUUCAGGUAUUGUUGUUGUCUGUGGUUACAGAGUGGAAUUGGACAGGGCCAUGUUGCCACGCAUGUUGAUCACUAGCCCACUGCAAUCUUGACACAGUCACUGUAGCUUUGUCUAAUUGGAAGGACCAUUUUUUUGCUGUUGUAUUGGGCGAGACCUUAAUGGCGAUUUUGCCUGAAGAAAGCCAAUUGUUCUUCGACCUCGGCACCUCUGAUCCAAUUUUUCUGAGUUUUGCACAUUUUUUUAUCAAUAAAUCCAUUUCCAGACCGAAACAACCCCGUCGGAAAUCUCUAAUGCAUAUGUAUUCAGCAUAAGGUGUGACAGAAAUAUUUCAGGUCAACAGAGGGGAAGACCUCAGUCCAAAACUGCAAAAUAACCGAAAAUAGGAGAAAGUACUUUCAGCUACCUGAUUUCAUCUUCAUUCCCUUUUGACCUGUUGUUCUGUGUGCAGCUUAUUGACGCAGCGCUAGUGGAAGCAUUCGAGAACGCAUUCCGAACCAAAAUGACCACUAUUGCUUUACGGUUUGGCGCAUACAUAAAACAUUUUAACAGCAUGAGAAACUCUACACCUCUAAUUCCUUCAUUGUGCAGGGCACUGUCGCCGAGAAACUAUCCGACUUGGACCCCGAUGAUAGAAACAGAGAAGCAGCACAAUCUCAGGCAUAUGGAAAUGCACUUAAGACUUAAAGAGGAAUGGUAAGCUCUUAGUUUUCGAUUACACACAGAAACAGGCAUUUUUUCUGCAUGUUCUUUUUGUUACAGUUAGAUAAUUGUACAUAACACACAGCCUAGUGAUGAUUCUUUUACUGAUGUUACUGGGACAUGAGGUUUAGAUUUGAUAGAGAUCCUGUACAAAAAAAAAACAAAAAAAAAAAAAACCUAAGCAUUUGUUCUUUUUCUAUACUUGGUCCUAAUUUGGGAGUGCAUUUCUUAAUGCAACCACUUUAAAGUUUUAUUAGAGUUUUGACCCCAAAAAAAAUUCAAAAAAAAGGUUUUAAAAUUUAAACAGGAUGAUAAGUAGGUUGCUUCUUUUUUUUUUUGCCAGUUCUUCACAUGUUGAUAGCAUCUGUGUAAUUAUAAAGUUUCUCUGGUAAAUUUUUAUUGCUUCUUUGUAUCUUUUAUUAUGUUUAUUUAAACUGGUGUGCAAGGUAUGCGUGCAUAAGCAAGUAGUUUAUAAACUUGUCCGAAAUAUAAAUAUAUAGAGAAUAAUAAUAAUAUAUAUAAUAAUGAUGAUAACUAAAACUAAAGGGAGGGAAACCGAUCGCGUUAUUUAAGGCCGUAGAAUCAAAGAAAACAUAAAGAGCUUUGAACCGUUCGUGUAUGAUCAAACGGCUCAUGUCAAUGGGGCCCACAUAUGGAACCGCUAUUCAGUCAGAUGUAAAAAUUAGUAAGGCAAAGAAUACGGAAUCCUUCUUACAAGAGCAAAUUUGCCAUUUUUAUUUUACCCCUCCAAUUUUUAACUAGCCUUUUUCAUUUUUUGUAUGAUUGGAUAUUUUGUCCCUCUUUUAUUGCUAAUUCGGUGGUGGGACGCUGUGUUAUUGUCAUUUUGAAGGAGAAAAUAAUAACGGCAUAUAAAAAUAUGGAAGUCGAGAGGGUUAAUUAUAAAUUCUUGGAUCGAUGUGUAAUUACAAAACUAACAGAGGCUUUUUUUUUUUUUUUUUCCCUGCAUAUAAGGACAGCUUUAACCCGUUGUUUCUUUUUCUUACCAUUUCUAAUUUAAAUUGAUCCCUAAUUCCACGCUCUUCCUUGGUCAUAAUAAAAUACACCAUAACUAUAACUAAAUAAAUAAAUAAACAACCUCCCCAAAUUACAAUCGUCCGUCUCCAAACCCCGCAGCUUCCUCCCAAUCCCCGAUGGGGUCUCCGUCUUCUUCUUCCCCCAAAAGUUCGCCCUUUUCGGAUUAGGGUUAGGGUUAGGGUUUCGAACCCUCUGAGGAGCUCUUUUCCUCGCCUCCUCCCCCGAUUAUUUCCUAAUUCAGGUGCGCGUCCCCAAUUCCUAACUCCUUUUUCGCGCUUGAUCUGAUUACUUGCCUUGGUUGCUCAAAUUCGACGUUCAAAUUGGUUGUUUUAGGGCUCAGUUUGGGGUUUUUUUUUUUUUUUUUUUCUCUUUUUUGUUGGAUCGAGUAGUUGGGAUUACGGUUCGAGCUCUUUGGUAUUUGUAGGGUAGAAAUUAGGGUUUAUUUCGAUCUUCGGGACGUUGGAGAUCGGGAGCAUGUCGAUGCACGAGAGGAAGACGAUCGAUUUGGAGCAGGGAUGGGAGUUCAUGCAGAAGGGGAUCACCAAGCUGAAGAACAUCCUGGAGGGUCUCCCCGAGAAGCAGUUUAGCCCCGAGGACUACAUGAUGCUCUACACGUAUGCUCACUAUCUUCUCCUCCUUGUCUAUUAGGGUUUGCUAAAAUUGUUACCUUGAGCUCAUGUUUCAUUGAUUUCUUUUAACUAUGGAUCAGGACUAUCUACAAUAUGUGCACUCAGAAGCCCCCUCAUGAUUACUCGCAACAGCUAUACGACAAGUAUCGGGAGUCGUUUGAGGAGUACAUCACUUCGACAGUGAGGAUGCCUUGCAAACUUCUUUUGAUUACUUUUUUCAACUAUUUUAGUGCACGACUACAUAGUUACUCUCUCUUCUUUUUCUUUUUCUUUUUUGUCAGCAUUAUUAUUAAUGUUAUUGUUAGUUAAAUGAGAAGUUAACCUUCUAUAUAUUCACCCUUAUUGGGGUUUAUGCUGUUUAUUUGCAAUAAUUCAAACAUUGUCAACAGCCAUUAAUGAGAAUCAGUAAGUACUGGAAGUUUAGUGGUUCUGUUAUUACUGGUGCUAGUGCGAUCAGCUGAUUCAUGAAGAAGUAGAAGGUUAUCUUUUUCAUUUUUAAGCAUCCUUCUUCUUUUGAAGAUUUUCAUUAGGAAAUUUAGGUUGAUAGCUGUCAUUUAUUGUUUUUGAGGACCUGUAUGAAUUGAGAUACGUAUUGCUUUUCACAUACUUUAUAUGUGUAGCCUUGUUCUAUUUUGUUUCUUCUUUCCGUAGUUGACUCUCUCUCUCCCUCCUUUUAGAUGUAUCGAUGAUUGUAUUAGAAGCAGCUUGGUUAUUUUCAUUCAGGUGUUGCCAUCUUUGAUGGAGAAACACGAUGAGUUUAUGCUGAGGGAACUAGUCAAAAGAUGGUCAAAUCACAAAGUCAUGGUCAGAUGGCUCUCACGUUUUUUCCACUACCUUGAUCGCUACUUUGUUACUCGAAGGUCACUCCCUCCGCUUAGUGAAGUUGGGCUUACUUGCUUCCGCGAUCUGGUACGUGAGCUCUGAACUUUAAAAUAUUAUAUACUUGUUUUGAAAGUUCAUAUCUCCUCGAAGAUUUAGAAGUGCAUUUUGUGUAUGCACAUAGUUGGAGGUUGUUGUCAUUCUUGAGUUCUCGAAUAUUCUGGUUUUUCCUGAAUCGUUGCUGAUUUGUUUUCUGAUAUUCAGGUUUAUCAGGAGAUUUAUUUUAAAGUAAGAGAUGCUGUGAUCUCAUUGGUAAGUGAAAAGUAAAAGAUUUAUGAUGUGCUAUACUUCAGCUUCAUGGAUAUUUUUCUAAUUCAGCAUGAACUAUGGCAAUCAGAUUGAUCAAGAACGUGAGGGGGAGCAGGUUGAUAGAGCUUUGCUCAAGAAUGUAUUAGACAUUUUUGUUGAAAUUGGGUUGGGUAAGAUGGACUAUUACGAGAAUGACUUCGAAGCAGACAUGCUUAAAGACACUGCAGCUUAUUAUUCUCGGAAAGCUUCAAGCUGGAUUUCAGAGGACUCCUGUCCAGAUUAUAUGCUGAAGGUACUUCUCUUCUAAAAUUUGUUUGGAUGAAAUGCAUUAAGCUAUCCUUCGUUUGGUGAUAAUGACCUUUUUUACUUGCUUCAGGCUGAGGAGUGUUUGAAACGGGAGAAAGACAGAGUUUCGCAUUACUUGCAUUCCAGUAGUGAACCAAAGCUUUUGGAGGUUUGUUCUUGUUUAAUACUCCUUUGCAACCCUCUCUCUGUAAGUCAUGUUUACUAGAAUUUGACUGAACAAUCACCUGAGUACUGGCCUGCUUGUUAGGUCAAUGGUCAAAUCUAUUAGUUAAGUGAUUAACUAGUUGAUUUAAUGAAAGAUAAGAUCAUAACAUUGGUACUGAGGAGGUUUGGUAUAAAGAUGAGCAUUCUUCACCUGUUUCCAUUCUUGGCAGUUGGCACUCGGCUGGGCCACAUGCCAUUUAGCCAUUUAUUUUCUAAUAUAAUAUUUCUAAAGAUUUAAAUCACACAGUUAUUAAUGCAUUUUCUUGAGAUAGUUAAAACUGGCUGUUGUGGUUAGAAUAGUAAAGAGACAAAAGUCCUUAUCAAUCUAGUCUGUUGGCAUAAUUCAGUUCUUGGUUGUUUGUGGUCACUGUCACAUGUCCAACAAGCUGAUCCAAGUCGUUCUAAUAAUACUACUGUCUGUGAUUAUUAGCCUGCUAAUUAAUAUUUGAACUUGAUGAUGCUUGUUUUGUGCCUGACAUCCUGUUUCACCGCAACUUACCAAUUCCAAUGCAGUUUGUUACUCUAACAUACAUUGCUUUUCAAUUGCUGUAGAAAGUGCAAAAUGAGUUACUCUCUGUAUAUGCAACCCAACUUCUUGAGAAAGAGCAUUCCGGAUGUCAUGCAUUGCUCCAGGAUGAUAAGGUUCGUAGAUAUUUCUUCCAAAAUGAGUGUAGAUUCUGUUUCAUUAGCUCAAUUGUCUAAAAACUUAAAAUUGUCUUGUACUUGUUAGGUGGAUGAUUUGUCGAGGAUGUACAGACUCUUUUCUAAAAUAAAUCGUGGUCUGGACCCAAUUGCUCAGAUAUUUAAGCAGGUUAGUAUAAGUGCAAAUUUGUUAACAGUCUAAUGUUUUUCUUUACAGUUUACUGAGAUUUAGCACAAACUUUUGUCCUGCAGCAUGUUACCGCGGAAGGUACAGCUUUGGUCAAACAAGCAGAAGAUGCCGCAAGUAAUAAGAAGGUCAGUAGUCUACAAAUGCUUUUUUCAACUGAACAGCUUAUUUUCUUUAAAAUAUUUUAUUUUCAUUCUUCGAAGAAUUUCUUGCAAAUCUUUUGUUAUGAAAACUGCCGUUGCAAUCUAAUGUUUGUAUGAAGUCUUGUUCAGUUGCUUACAUAUUCUUGCUAACUCUAUUUUAUAUAGUGCCCUAAAACUUUGAUGAAUUGCAAUUCUGUGUGUUCUUCCAUUUACCUAUAGUUGUUUGCAAAAUUAGCUCAUAUGCUGGCCUAAUCACAGGACUUGCGUGGCUAGUCCGUGCUCUUAACGCUCAAUAAUAUGUUGAUAAUUCAUCAAGCAAGUUGUUUAUCAUUUUAGACUUGCAAACUCAAGCUACUGAUUUCAAGUUGCUUCUGGCAUGUAGUCCUGAUUACUGUUUGUAUAUUUAUUUCCUAGCAUUUAUUGCUUUUACCAGCUUGCAGUGUAUAUGCAUUUUUUAUAUUUCUUCUCUCUCUUGUGAUAUAUGGGCUAACAUAUGUUUCCUACAGGCUGAGAAAAAAGAUUUAGUUGGUUUACAAGAACAGGUUAGAUUUCUUAUUUGCAGCUCAUACAAGUACUAUGGUUACUUUAAAAUGCAAGUUUAUUGAUGGAACUAUCUGGUUGUAGGUCUUUGUUAGAAAAAUCAUUGAGCUUCAUGACAAGUAUUUGGCAUAUGUAAAUGAUUGCUUCCAGAACCACUCUCUAUUUCAUAAGGUACGUACAGAAAAUUUUCCUCUUAUAUAAGGGGUAUGUUUUCAUGUUUCUUCCCUAAAUAUGCUUGUUCUCAUCAGGCACUAAAAGAGGCUUUUGAGGUCUUCUGCAACAAGGGAGUUGCAGGAAGUGCAAGUGCUGAACUUCUAGCUACCUUCUGUGACAAUAUACUUAAAAAAGGUGGAAGCGAGAAGUUGAGUGAUGAAGCUAUCGAGGAGACCCUUGAGAAAGUAAUUGACUUUUCAACUGUCUUUUGAUUUUUCUAAUAAUUUGACCUUGAAAUAUCAAAUAUAUCAUGUGAACAAUCUCUCGCAGGUUGUGAAGCUGCUUGCAUAUAUUAGCGAUAAGGAUCUUUUUGCUGAGUUCUACAGGUAGAAGUCUUAUGCUGUCACCCUUUCAAUUAGUAAUUUGUUUUUACUUUAAUCUGGCUUUAUAUAUAUAUAUAUAUAGAGAGAGAGAGAGAGAGAGAGAGAGAGAGAGAGAGAGUUCGGCUAUUAUACUCUUAUUAUGAGUACAAUUGACCUACCCAUAAAUCAUUUUUGAUGAUGGAGCUUCCCAAUCGAUAAUCCAUAUAGUUAAACUUGAUUUAGAGUAUUUGAAAUUUCUAGAAACCAAAUUUCAUAAUUUUUUGACAUCAUUUACUUUACGAUCAAAAGAUAUAAAAAUUGAGAAUUUUUAACAACCGGUAUGGGAUGCUUGCAAGUUUAACGGUGUAAAAGAAUCGAAAUCGAUUGAAUUUUUGGUAGAAAAAAUUAUUCACUAUCUAGAUAGAGAUCUACAAUUCCGAUCAUAAAUUGAAGAAUCUAUCAUCUAUUUUUAGGAGGUAAUUUGAUUUUGAUCGUCUAUUUUAUGUCUACUUGAUAGACUUUAUUAUAAUUUCAAAAAAUUACGAAAUUAGUUUUCUAGAAGUUUCAAAUGCUCUAGAUCAUAUUUAACGGCAUGGAUCGUCAAUUCGGAAGCUCUAUUAUCGAAAACAACUUAUGAGUACAAAGAGCUCUAUACUCAUAAGAGUAUAGUAGCCCUACUCUCUCUCUCUCUCUCUCUCUCUCUCUCUCUCUCUCUCUCUCUCUCUCUAUAUAUAUAUAUAUAUAUAUAUAUAUUUCCUUACACUCAAUUUGAUUAAUUCACAGGAAGAAACUUGCCCGAAGGUUGCUAUUUGAUAAAAGUGCUAAUGAUGACCAUGAGCGUAGUAUUUUGACAAAGCUAAAGCAGCAGUGCGGAGGGCAAUUUACCUCAAAAAUGGAGGGCAUGGUAUGCUUACAAAUUUUAUUAUUUUCUUCCUAUUUGAAGGUUUUUUACAGUUUCCUUUCUUCUCAGGUAACUGAUUUAACUCUUGCAAGAGAAAACCAAUCAAGCUUCGAAGAAUAUCUAAAUAGCAAUCCUCUGGCAAAUCCUGGAAUUGACCUUACAGUGACUGUUUUAACGACUGGGUUUUGGCCUAGUUAUAAAUCCUUUGAUCUUAAUCUCCCUGCUGAGAUGGUACAGACUUGGUCCUUGUUACUUCUUUUAGUUUCUAGUUAUGGAAUUGAAGCGUGCUUUAAUUAGGCUUUGCUAUUUUUCAUUUACAUGUUAUAUAUAGGUUAAAUGUGUCGAAGUUUUUAAGGAGUUCUAUCAGACAAAAACCAAGCAUCGGAAGCUUACAUGGAUAUAUUCAUUGGGUACCUGUAAUAUCAAUGGCAAGUUUGAACCUAAAACAAUAGAGCUGAUUGUAACAACCUAUCAGGUUUUCAUCAGAAUUUUUUCCUCUUAAAUUAUUUAAAAUUGGUUGUUCCUACAUUCUUGAAUCAUAAUUAUUUUUUCCCGUCCUACAGGCUGCUGCUCUGCUACUUUUUAAUGCUUCCGACCGAUUAAGUUACUCAGAGAUCAUGUCACAGUUGAAUUUGUCAGAUGAUGACGUCAUCAGAUUGCUCCACUCUCUUUCAUGUGCAAAAUACAAGAUCCUCAACAAAGAGCCUAAUACAAAAAAUAUAUCUCCCACUGAUUAUUUCGAGUUCAAUUCCAAGUUCACAGAUAAAAUGAGGAGGAUCAAGGUAAAGUUUUGCUGUUAACGCUGUGUUCUUGCACCUGUUCUCCUUGAUUGAGUUUUUGAGGUUAUGGCUAUACGCAUACUGCAGAUUCCUCUUCCUCCCGUGGAUGAGAAAAAGAAAGUUAUUGAAGAUGUUGACAAAGACAGAAGAUAUGCAAUUGAUGCUUCAAUAGUGCGCAUAAUGAAGAGUAGAAAGGUUUUAGGUCAUCAGCAACUUGUGAUGGAAUGCGUUGAGCAGCUCAGCCGCAUGUUUAAGGUACCAAGCUCCUCAUUACAAUUGUUUAUUUCUCUUUUGAAGCCAAGAGAUAGUGCAAAUGUGUUUAGACAAUCAUCUCUUUAAAUCGUUAUCACUUUCUUUGACGUGAUUUGAUUAGUCGAUCAAGUUAUAAGUAUCAAAAAACACUUUGUGACGAUAUGGAGGAUGCCAAAUAUGGUACCUAUUAGUAAUCUAGUUGCUAGGUUUAGUCACUGAGAAAAUUGUCCUACGAAUAAUAAAUUGCUGUUUUCUUUGUGCAGCCUGACUUCAAGGCAAUAAAGAAGAGGAUCGAAGACUUGAUCUCUAGAGACUAUUUAGAGAGGGACAAGGACAAUCCGAACACGUUCAGAUACUUAGCCUGAUUAAUAUUUGGAGAAUGUUCUUUAAUCAUCUCUCUACAAAGCCGCCAACAAUAACGCAGAAGCACCCGUUCUGGUGGUAAACUCAUCACUUAAAAUUUCUCGUGCUGCUUGAGAGAUUGAUAUACUUUACAUCGACCCAUGAGCCUUGUUGUACAUUUCCCUCAAACCGAUGUAUGUUUUAUUGCCUAUAAGAAUGUAUGGGUGAAAGCUUCUACAGUCGGAAAUGCUCAGAAUCACUUUUCUUACUGUUGUAAAUCGUCAUUACACUGGCAUACUUCAUUGUUUUUUCUUAACUAGCGUCUUCUACAUCUAUUAAGUCUUCUCUGCUGUAUUUUGUCUAGGUUGGAAAUCUGCUUGUUGCUCUAUAUUUUACUCGACUAGUUACGUAAGUAACUCUUCUCGCACAAUUAUUAUCAAUGUUAUUAUAUAUGCGACUGCAUUUAAUUCCAUUUCUGCUGUUGCUUGGAAUAACUUUCAAUUAUGUACAGCGUUUUACCACCAGAUGGUAUUAUUAUUCUCCUCUAUUAGUGGCUUCUGUUUAGUUUCUUUUGCAGGUUUGAGUUACACCUUGCCCAGUUAAUUGGGCUGAUCCUGGAUUCAAAAUUACAGGUUCAUGAUAAAAUUCUGACUCAAACCCAGUUUUUUUUUUUUUUUUUUUUUUUUUUUUCUCUGGUUGAAGCUUCUAUGUCCGAGGUUUUCAUUUGAUCUGAUCCAACUUGGCCGUCAGUAGCUGUAGGAAUUUGCUUGCCCUGAUGUUUGCGGCGAUUCAUCAAAGAAAGCUUCCACAUUAUCUCCAUUGAGCAAGUCUCUGUGACUCUUCUUCUCUUCUUUUGUUUAUUUUUUCUUAUCUGGGACUGUCACAUAGGAUUAGUUACAGUAAAGAUUCUCUGCACCCUUGAAACAAGAAGUUGCUUAAGUAGGUGCUGCUGGUGCAGAAAACAAACAGUGUUUUGCACCACACUUGUUAGCAGAUUCUUACGCCCACCGCACUCCGGGCUACAAGACAAGCUCCAUGAUUGAUGUGGCCCUGCUUCUCUUCCAAUCGCCAUUAUUCGUUCAUCUGAGUUUCUAUAUUAUUUAGGCCAUUUGCUACCCAUUACCUACUAUAUGGUGCCACUGCCAAUAAUUGUGGGUAUCUUUCGCUGCAAACUACAGGAAAAGUGUCUUUAGAUCCUGUUUACCUGCUCUUCUGCUUUUGUUAUGAACUCUAGUGACCUCUAGUUAUUUGUGAGCGUAAAGAAAAAAAAAAAAAAGAAAAAAGCUGGGAGCUUCUACUGCUGUGAGAAUCUUAAAUGAAUUGUGGACAAGCUAUUGUAGAAAUUUUAGUGAAAGUGCUUUUAGAAGCAAUAUAAAUACUACUGCUUCGACCAGCUCUGUCCGGUGCAGUAGGGCCAAACAGGCCCCAUGGAUUGUCCGUCGGGGAUUUCCGAGAAAAUACUGCUCGAGUAUUAGAUGUUUGAAAGGAUACUGAUUGCUCUUUUAUUAAAAGCGCUUUAAUAGCGUCUCUCUCUCUCUGUAGUCCGCGAGUCGUAUUUUGUUUGUUUUUAACAUCUAAAAGCUUAGCUUUUAUUUUUUGUUGCGGGAAAAGCUUGCUCUGGGCAUUUUGUUUAUCGAGUGCGUGUAGCUUUUUGAAUCACGUAGGGGCGUUUCAAGAGCCAUGCCAAACAGGCCCUUAGAUGAGCUUGAUACCAUCCACUACAGCUUUUUUAUGUUAAAAAAAAAAAAAAUUGAACCCAAUUGCUAACAGAGAAUCACUUAAAUGUCCAGUUACCACCAUUAUAUCUAUUCAAUCUCCACACACUAUAUAAAUACGUCACACGUGCCCCACCCCACCACAGUAUACACGCACAUAAUUAAGAUUUUAGCAGGUGUAUGGUAUAUACUUUGUACAUUGGCUACUUCAAAGACCGCUAAUUUAUGAAAUUAUUAUAGCAAAACAUAAACAAUUGGAUCGUUAUUAUUAGUUAACCUGAAUCUUAGCAAACUCCAGAGUCUUCUUCCCCUGCAGAGCUUGUUGGGGACGUAGUGGCGGCUGUAGUCGCCGUGGUUGUACCUCUUGUACAUGCAGCGCUGGUCCCGGUGCACCAGCUCAGCGCGGGGGCCCACCUCCACGUCAUAGCUGGGCGGCGCAUAGAACGUGACCACGGAGAGCCUGUCCCUCUCUUCGUUGGUCACCGCCCUGUGCUCCACGCUCUUGUGCUUCCCAUUCGUCACCACCUGUUUUGUUUUGUUUUGUUAUUGUUUCGCUUUAUUCAGUAACAAAAUCAUGGGGGAUUUCCAUCUAAUUUUGAUUUUUGGUGUUAUUUACGCAAUGUUUGAUCUGGGCCAGUAAUAAUUAGUGAAUAUAAUAAUAGUUUGGUUUGACCAUUUCUGUAGCGAUCACAGUAAAAAAGAACAUUUAGUUUUAUCAUGUUUGACCACAGCAAGAGGUGUUCUGCUCAAAAAAUUCAUUUUAUUCUCCAACAAAACACUGCUUUAUAAGUAAAAAAUGGCUAAAGUUGAUUAUUUGCUAGAAUAUAUGUAUAUAUAUACGUACCUCAAUGGUGUCUCCAAUGUUGAUCACAAGUGCGUUGGGGAUAGGGUUUACCGGCACCCAGGCGCCGUCCUUGAGGAUCUACAGGCCGGCGCAGGUGGCGUCCUGCUGCAGCACGGUGAGUGCGCUGCCAUCCGAAUGCGAGCUCAGCCCCAGCACGAGGUCGGGCCGCGAGCACGGCGGGUAGUAGUUCAUCGUGCACUGCCUCCCCGAACAUGUCCCCGAAUGUGUUCGGCGCCAGUCCCAGCGUCUCCGCAAUCACGAUCAGCAGCCUCUCGCACAGGUUUCUUAUUCUCGCGGUGUACAUCUCUAGCGUCUCACUGCAGUGAAGAUGAGUUGAAAACGUUAUGGAUUGAGAUUCUUGUGAUUUUCGUUUAUCAUAAACGUUUGUUUCAACAUGUUUACGUGUUGCUGGUGUGGUAAUGAUAAAGUUAUUAUUUAUACGAAGAGAGCACCUAAAGUGAGUAGGGUUUGUAGGCCAGAGGCUAGAGUUUCUGAUGAAGGGAGGCGCCACCCCGAGAGCGAGCAUGUUGCACCAGUCGAGUUUCUGGUCCUCCGAGAAGAUGAAGGCGUGGCCGUAGCCCUGAAUCGUGCCCGGUGCCAUUGGAUACUUCUCCUUUUCUUCCAAAGGAAGCAUGAAGAACUCCCGCGCCACCUUCUCCAUGCCAUCCAUCAGCCACUUCUCCACACCAUGGUUCACGACAUAUAUAUAUAUAUAUAUAUAUAUAUAUAUAUAGAGUGAGGCUACUAUGCUAUCGGAAGCACGGAGCCUUCCGUGCUUCCAGCUCGUUUUCGAUGUUGCGACUUUCGAAUCGUCGAUCGGCUCCGUUAAACUUGAUCUAGAGUAUUUGGAGUACCUAGAAAAUAAAUUUUAUUAUUUUUCGAUAUCAUUUGCCUAGUGAUCGAAUGGGCUCAAAAUCAACAAAUUUCAAUGGCCGUAGUGAGCCGUUUGCAAGUUUAACGGUGUAGAAAUAUCAAAAUCACGUGAAAUUUUGAUAGAAAAUUCUUUAUACUAUAUAAAACAAGAUCAAUAUCUUUGAUUUAAAAUUUUAAUGUCAUAUUAUUACAUUUUGUAAGAUUUUUAUUUUCAGCCGUUGAUUUUGAACCCCUUCGUUCACUAGGCAAAUGAUAUCGUAAAAUCAUAAAAUUUAUUUUCUAGAUACUUCAAAUACUCUAGAUCAAGUUUAACGAAACCGAUCGACGAUUCGAAAGUCGUAACAUCGAAAACGAGCUGGAAGCACGGAAGGCUCCGUGCUUCCGAUAGUAUAGUAACCUCACUCUAUCUAUAUAUAUAUAUAUAUAUAUAUAUAUAUUCAUGUACGAAACAAAGUUCACUAUAUUACAGAGUUCUAUGCUUGCUCACAUUCUAAUAGUUUACUUUUUGUGUCGUACUAAAACAUUCAUAAUUUAUAUUAAACUAAAACAGAUAAAAGAUUGAAACUGCUUACAAAUUUUGUUUCAAAAUAAUAUCUUGCAAACUGUUAAUUAAACUUUAACAAAGCAAAAGUAUAUAGUACAGUUAUAACAGGUGAAUAUCUCCUGUGAUAUUAAUUGCACGACAGAGUUUUACCUGUCAUAAUAAUUCAAUAAGCCAAUUAAUAUAAAUAUAGAGAGAAAGAGAGUUUGGCUAAAAUACUAUUAAUAAUAUUUUAAUUUUUUUGCUAUUUAAUUUUUAACCCUUUCAUGAAAAAUUGUAGGGUUUGAAUGAUGGCGAUUUUUUAAGAUUGAGUGGUGGUCUUUUAGAGUUUAAUAAUUAUUAGUGAAAUAAUAUUAAUUUAAUAGUAAAAAUAAUCAAAAUAAUAGAUUUAAUAGUUAAAAACUAAAUAGCAAACUGACACAAAUACUAUAUGUAUACGGUGUAGAGCUACUAUGUUAUUGGAAGCAUAAAUGAUCUGAUGCUUCCAACUUUUUAACCAUUGGAUCAAAAAAUUAUACGAUUAGAAUGAUUGCGAUCCCUCCAGGUUUGAGUAGUACCCCUAAGGUUGAGUGGUCCCUACAGGUUAAUAGUAUUAAUUCAAAGAUUAGAAAUGAUUAAAGGGAUUGAUCUAAGGGCCAAAAAAUCGGAAGCACCAAAUCCUCUAUACUUCCGAUAACAUAGUAGCUCUACUCUAUAUAUACUAUCGGAAUAUUGUGCUUUCAACUUUUUGGCCCUUAGAUUAAUUUUUUUGAUUAUUUUUAAUUUUUGGAUUAAUACUAUUAUCAUGUGGGGACCACUCAACUCUAACCUCUAGGGUCCUACUCAAUCAUAUAAGACCGUAAUCAUCCCAACCGUACAAUUCUUAAUCUAAGGAUCAAAAAAUUAGAAACGUCAACUCCUCUAUACUUCCGAUAAUAUAUUAACUCUAUAUGUACCUGAAAGAAGCCCCACUCCUCGCAGGCGGCGGCGAGCUUCUUCAGCUCAUCGGCGCCGUGCCAUUUGGAUCCCAGCUUCGACAUGUCGAUGACGGGGACGUCUCCGGGCCCCGCCACCGCUGCUGCAGCAGCAGGGCGCUCCUCGGGGGCGCGGAUGUACCUCUUGGGCACGAACGCGGGACUUAUCCUGUCUAAAGGGAACGUUACAAAUGUGUUGUUGCAAAAGUUAGAAAAAUUUGAAAAUAAAGGAUAAAUUUUUAUCAAGUAUACUCCAAAAAAAAAGAACAUUUUCUUUUGCAAAAGCUUAUUGCAACUUUUCAAAAUUUAUUGCAAUCUUUUCCUUUUGAACAAAUUCUCUAACAUAUUGGGUGGACAAAUUUUGGUAAUUAGAUGACUCUUAGCCAAAUUAAUUAUAUGGAUGUAUUUAUAUAAUUGGAUAAAGGCGUAUGUUAGAGAAUCAAUUUAACUAAGCAAAAGAUAGGUAUAAUUUAACUACAGAUAUAUUUCCGGGCACUUAUUUACCUACAGAUAUAUUUUAUUUUACCCCUCCCAAUUUUUAGAAACCUACAAUUAGCCUUUUUCAUUUUUUAUAUGAUUGGAUAUUUUGUCCCUCUUUUGUUGCUAUUCGUUGUAACGCUCUGUGUUACUGUCAUUUUGAAGGAGAAAAUAAUAACGGCAUAUAAAAAUAUGGAUGUCGAGAGGGCUAAUUAUAAAUUCUUGGAUGGAAGUGUAAUUACCAAACUAACAGAGGCUUUUUUGCAUUUUCCUGCACAGUUCUAACUCGUUGUUUCUUUUUCUUACCAUUUCUAAUUUAAAUUCAUCCCUAAUUCCACGCUCUUUCUUGGUAAUAAAAUAAAAUAAAAAAUAAACCGUAACCUCCCCAAAUUACAAUCGUUCGUCUACAAACCCCGCAGGAGGUGAGGAGAAGAAGACAAGUAAAUGGAGCGGUUAGCGAUUAGGAGCGGAUCGGAGGAAAAGGCGGACCCAAGAUCCGACGGGCUAUGGAUAACGCGGAUAAGGGUGAUCCAUUAACCGCUUGCCUGUUACAGCAGUUGGUGAACUGGGCCGGCCCAAACUCAGGCGAUUGAAUGGAAUUAGCGAUCCAUGAUACAAAGAGUGAUCUCUUUACAAUUCAACCCUCCAAUUUUGUAACAUUUAUAAUUGAAUUCUCGUACUGACACUAUAAAUAGGAAUGGCAUGAAAAGAAUUUGAAUAAACUCCCUUCCUCCUCAAUGCUCUUCUUCCUCUGUGUCUCUCUCUCUUUCUCUCUACUCUUCUACUCUCUUCUCUGUUCUAUCUCUUUUCCUCUCACUCCUCUAAUCCAGAUCUAGAUCUCAUCCCCGACCACUGGUGCUCGAUCUCCAUGGAUGCUUGAUUCAGAUUGAGAUCUGAAUCCAACCCUCUGAGGAGCUCUUUUCCUCGCCUCCUCCCCCGAUUAUUUCCUAAUUCAGGUGCGUAUCCCCAAUUCCUAACUCCUUUUUCGCGCUUGAUCUGAUUACUUGCCUUGGUUGCUCAAAUUCGACGUUCAGAUUGGUUGUUUUAGGGCUCAAUUUGGGCAUUUUUUUUUUCUCUUUUUUGUUGGAUCGAGUAGUCGGGAUUACGGUUCGAGCUCUUUGGUGUUUGUAGGGUAGAAAUUAGGGUUUAUUUCGAUCUUCGGGACGUUGGAGAUCGGGAGCAUGUCGAUGGACGACGAGAGGAAGACGAUCCGUUUGGAGCAGGGAUGGGAGCUCAUUCAGAAGGGGAUCACCAAGCUGAAGAACAGCCUGGAGGGUCUCUCCGAGGAGAAGUUUCGCGCCAAAGACUACAUGAUGCUCUACACGUAUGCUCACUAUCUCCUCCUCCUUGUCUAUUAGGGUUUGCUAAAAUUGUACCUUGAGCUCAUGUUUCUUUGAUUUGUUUUAACUAUGGAUCAGGACUAUCUACGAUAUGUGCACUCAGAAGCCCCCUCAUCGUUACUCGCAACAGCUAUACAACAAGUAUCGGGAGUCGGUUGAGGAGUACAUCACUUCGACAGUGAGGAUGCCUUGCAAACUUUUUUUGUCUACUUUUUUCAACUAUUUUGUUGCACGAAGUGUAGUUGCUCUCUCUUCUUCUUCUUCUUCUUUUUUGUCUGCAUUGUUAUUAAUGUUAUUGUUAGCUAAAUGAGAAGUUAACCUUCUAUAUAUUCACCCUUAUUGGGGUUUAUACUAUUUAUUUGCAAUAGUUCAAACAUUGUCGACAGCCAUUAAUGAGAAUCAGUGAGUAUUGGAAGUUUAGUGGUUCUGUUAUUACUGGUGCUAGUGUGGUCAGCUGAUUCAUGAAGAAUUAGAAGGUUAUCUUUUUCAUUUUUAAGUGUCCUUCUUCUUUUGAAGAUUUUCAUUAGGAAAUUUAGGCUGAUAGCUGUCAUUUAUUGUUUUUGAAGACCUGUAUGAAUUGAGAUACGUAUUGCUUUUCACAUACAUUAUACGUGUAGCCCUGUUCUAUUUUGCUUCUUCUUUCAGUAGUUGACUCUCUCUCUCUCUCUCCUUUUAGAUGUAUCGAUGAUUGUAUUGUAAGCAGCUUGGUUAUUUUCAUUCAGGUGUUGUCAUCUUUGAGGGAGAAAGACGGUGAGUUUAUGCUGAGGGAACUAGUCAAUAGAUGGUCAAAUCACAAAGAAAUGGUCAGAUUGCUCUCACUUUGUUUCCGCCACCUUGAUGACAACUUUGUUACUCAAAAGUCACUCCCUCCGAUUAGUGAAGUUGGGCUUACUUGCUUCCGCAAUCUGGUACGUGAGCUCCUAACUGUAAAAUAUCAUAUAUUUGUUUUGAAAGUUCAUAUCUCCUCGAAGAUUUAGAAGUGGAUUUUGUGUAUGCACAUAAUUGGAGGUUGUUGUCAUUCUUGAGUUCUCGAAUAUUCUGGUUUUUCCUGAAUCGUUGCUGAUUUGUUUUCUGAUAUUCAGGUUUAUCAGGAGAUUUAUUUUAAAGCAAGAGAUGCUGUGAUCUCAUUGGUAAGUCAAAAGUAAAAGAUUUAUGAUGUGCUAUACUUCAGCUUCAUGGAUAUUUUUCUAAUUCAGCAUAAACUAUGCCAAUCAGAUUAAUCAAGAACGUGAGGGCGAGCAGAUUGAUAGAGCUUUGCUCAAGAAUGUAUUAGAUAUUUUUGUUGAAAUUGGGUUGGGUAAGAUGGACUAUUAUGACUUCGAAGCAUACAUGCUUAAACGCACUGCAGCUUAUUAUUCUCGGAAAGCAAAAAGCUGGAUUUCAGAGGACUCCUGUACAGGUUAUAUGCUGAAGGUACUCCUCUUCUAAAAUUUGUUUGGAUGAAAUGCAUUAUUAAGCUAUCCUUAGUUUGGUAAUAAUGACCUUUUUUACUUGUUUCAGGCUGAGGAGUGUUUGAAACAGGAGAAAGACAGAGUUUCGCAUUACUUGCAUUCAAGUAGUGAACCAAAGCUUUUGGAGGUUUGUUCUUGUUUAAUAGUCCUUUGCAACCCUCUCUCUGUAAGUCAUGUUUACUAGAACUUGACUGAACAAUCACCUGAGUACUGGCCUGCUUGUUAGGUCAAUGGUCAAAUCUAUUAGUUAAGCGAUUAACUAGUUGAUUUAAUGAAAGAUAAGAUCAUAACAUUGGUACUGAGCAGAUUCGGUAUAAAGAUGAGCAUUCUCCACUUGUUUCCAUUCUUGGCAGUUGGCACUCGGNGAGAGAGAGAGAGAGAGAGAGAGAGAGAGAGAGAGAGAGAGAGCUACUAUACUCUUAUGAGUACGAUGGACCUGCUCAUAAGUCAUUUUCGAUGAUGAAGUUUCCGAAUCGAUGAUCCAUACUAUUAAACAUGAUUUAGAGUAUUUGAAACUUUUAGAAAUUAAAUUUCAUAAUUUUUCAACAUCAUUUACCUUACGAUCAAAAGAUAUAAAAAUUGACAAUUUUUAACGGCCGGUAUAGUUGAAUUUUUGAUAGAAAAUUUUAUUCACUAUCUAGAUAGAGAUCUAUAAUUUUGAUCAUAAAUUGAAAAAUCCGAUCAUCUAUUUUUAGAAGGUAAUUCAAUUUUGAUUAUUUAUUUUAUGUCCAUUUGAUAGACUAUUAUAAUUUUAAAAAACUAUGAAAUUAGUUUUCUAGAAGUUUCAAAUGUUCUAAAUUAUAUUUAACGGCAUGGAUCGUCAAUUCGGAAGCUCUAUCAUCGAAAACAACUUAUGAGUAUAAAGAGCUCUAUACUCAUAAGAGUAUAGUAGCCCUACUCUCUCCCUCUCUCUCUCUCUCUAUAUAUAUUUCCUUACACUCAUUUUGAUUAAUUAACAGGAAGAAACUUCUUGAGAUAGAGCAUUCCGGAUGUCAUGCGUUGCUCCAGGAUGACAAGGUUCGUAGAUAUUUCUUCCAAAAUGAGUGUAGAUUCUGUUUCAUUAGCCCAAUUGUCUAAAAACUUAAAAUUGUCUUGUACUUGUUAGGUGGAUGAUUUGUCGAGGAUGUACAGACUCUUUUCUAAAAUAAAUCGUGGUCUGGACCCAAUUGCUCAGAUAGUUAAGCAGGUUGCUCAGAUUUUUAAGCAGGUUAGUAUAAGUGCAAAUUUGUUAAAAUAGUCUAAUGUUUUUCUUUACAGUUUACUGAGAUUUAUCAAAAACUUUUGUCCUGCAGCAUGUUACCGCGGAAGGUACAGCUUUGGUCAAACAAGCAGAAGAUGCCGCAAAUAAUAAGAAGGUCAGUAGUCUACAAAUACUUUUUCAACCGAACAGCUUAUUUUCUUUAAAAUAUUUUAUUUUCAUUCUUCGAAGAAUUUCUUGCAAAUCUUUUGUUAUGAAAACUGCCAUUGCAAUCUAGUGUUUGUAUGAAGUCUUGUUCAGUUGCUUACGUAUUCUUGCUAACUCUAUUUUGUAUAGUGCCCUAAAACUUUGAUGAAUUGCAAUUCUCUAUGUUCUUCCAUUUAGCUAGAGUUGUUUCAAAAUUAGCUCAUAUGCUGGCCUAAUCACGGGACUUGCCUGGCUAGUCUGUGCUCUUAACGCUCAAUAGCAUGUUGAUAAUUCAUCAAGCAAGUUGUUUAUCAAACUCAAGCUACUGAUUUCAAGUUGCUUCUGGCAUGUAUUCUUGAUUACUGUUUGUAUAUUUGUUUCCUAGCAUUUAUUACUUUUACCAACUUGCAGUGUAUAUACAUUUUUAUAUUUCUGUUCUUUCUCGUGAUAUGGGCUAACAUAUGUUUCCUACAGGCUGAGAAAAAAGAUUUAGUUGGUUUACAAGAACAGGUUAGAUUUCUUAUUUGCAGCUCAUACAAGUACUAUGGUUACUUUAAAAUGCAAGUUUAUUGACGGAACUAUCUGGUUGUAGGUUUUUGUUAGAAAAAUCAUUGAGCUUCAUGACAAGUAUUUGGCAUAUGUAAAUAACUGCUUCCAGAACCACUCGCUCUUUCAUAAGGUGCGUAUAGAAAUUUUUCCUCUUAUAUAAGGGUAUGUUUUCGUCUUUCUUCCCUAAAUAUGCUUGUUCUCAUCAGGCAGUAAAGGAGGCUUUUGAGGUCUUCUGCAACAAGGGAGUUGCAGGUAGUGCAAGUGCUGAACUUCUAGCUACCUUCUGUGACAAUAUACUUAAAAAAGGUGGAAGCGAGAAAUUGAGUGAUGAAGCUAUCGAGGAGACCCUUGAGAAAGUAAUUGACUUUUCAACUGCCUUUUGAUUUUUCUAAUAAUUUGACCUUGAAAUAUAUCAUGUGAACAAUCUCUCGCAGGUUGUGAAGCUGCUUUCAUAUAUUAGCGAUAAGGAUCUUUUUGCUGAGUUUUACAGGUAGAAGUCUUAUGCCGUCACCCUUUGAAUUAGUAAUUUGUUUUUACUUUAAUCUGGCUUAUAUAUAUAUAUAUAUAUAUAUAUAGAGAGAGAGAGAGAGAGAGAGAGAGAGAGAGAGAGUUCGGCUACUAUUCCUUUUUGAGUACGAUGGACCUGCCCAUAAGUCAUUUUCGAUGAUGGAGUUUCAAAUCGAUGAUCCAUACUAUUAAACAUGAUUUAGAGUAUUUGAAACUUUUAGAAAUUAAAUUUCAUAAUUUUUCGACAUCAUUUACCUUACGAUCAAAAGAUAUAAAAAUUGACAAUUUUUAAUGGCUGGUAUGGGAUGCUCGCAAUUUUAACGGUGUAAAAGAAUCAAAAUCAGUCGAAUUUUUGAUAGAAAAUUUUAUUCACUAUUUAUAUAGAGAUCUAUAAUUUCGAUCAUAAAUUGAAAAAUCCGAUCAUCUAUUUUUAGGAGGUAAUUCCAUUUUGACCGUUUAUUUUAUGUCCAUUUGAUAGACUUUAUUAUAAUUUUUAAAAACUAUGAAAUUAGUUUUCUAGAAGUUUCAAAUGUUCUAGAUUAUAUUUAACGGAAUGGAUCGUCAAUUCGGAAGCUCUAUCAUCGAAAACAAUUUAUGAGUACAAAGAGUAGCCGUACUCUCUCUCUCUUUCUAUAUAUGUAUAUUUCCUUACACUCAUUUUGAUUAAUUCACAGGAAGAAACUUGCCCGAAGGUUGCUAUUUGAUAAAAGUCCUAAUGAUGACCAUGAGCGUAGUAUUUUGACAAAGCUAAAGCAGCAGUGCGGAGGGCAAUUUACCUCAAAAAUGGAGGGCAUGGUAUGCUUACAAAUUUUAUUAUUUUCUUUCUAUUAGAAGGUUUUUUACAGUUUCCUUCCUUCUCAGGUAACUGAUUUAACUCUUGCAAGAGAAAACCAAUCAAGCUUUGAAGAAUAUCUAAAUAGCAAUCCUCUGGCAAGUCCUGGAAUUGACCUUACAGCGACUGUUUUAACGACUGGGUUUUGGCCUAGUUAUAAAUCCUUUGAUCUUAAUCUCCCUGCCGAGAUGGUACAGACUCGGUCCUUUUUACUUCUUUUAGUUUCUAAUUAUGGAAUUGAAGUGUGCUUUAAUUAGGCUUUGUUAAUUUUCAAUUAUAUGUUAUAUAUAGGUUAAAUGUGUCGAAGUUUUUAAGGAGUUCUAUCAGACAAAAACCAAGCAUCGGAAGCUUACAUGGAUAUAUUCAUUGGGUACCUGUAAUAUCAAUGGCAAGUUUGAACCUAAAACAAUAGAGCUGAUUGUAACAACCUAUCAGGUUUUCAUCAGAUUUUUUUCCUCUUAAAUUAUUAAAUUGGUUGUUCCUACAUUCUUGUAUCAUAAUUAUUUUUCCCCGUCCUACAGGCUGCUGCUCUGCUACUAUUUAAUGCUUCCGACCGAUUAAGUUACUCGGAGAUCAUGUCACAGUUGAAUUUGUCAGAUGAUGACGUCAUCAGUUUGCUCCACUCCCUUUCAUGCGCAAAAUACAAGAUCCUCAACAAAGAGCCAAAUACGAAAAAUAUAUCUCCCACUGAUUAUUUCGAGUUCAAUUCCAAGUUCACAGAUAAAAUGAGAAGGAUCAAGGUAAAGUUUUGCUGUUAACGCAGUUUUGCUGUUAACGCAGUGUUCUUGCACCUAUUCUCCUUGAUUUAGUUUUUGAGGUUAAUGGCUAUACACAUACUGCAGAUUCCUCUUCCUCCCGUGGAUGAGAAAAAGAAAGUUAUUGAAGAUGUUGACAAAGACAGAAGAUAUGCAAUUGAUGCUUCAAUAGUGCGCAUAAUGAAGAGUAGAAAGGUUUUAGGUCAUCAGCAACUUGUGAUGGAAUGCGUUGAGCAGCUCAGCCGCAUGUUUAAGGUACCGAGCUCCUCAUUACAAUUGUUUAUUUCUCUUUUGAAGCCAAGAGAUACUGCAAAUGUGUUUAGACAAUCAUCUCUUUUAACUCGUUUUCACUUUCUUUGAUGUGAUUUGAUUAGUCCAUCAAGUUAUAGGUAUCAAAAAACACUUUGUGACGGUAUGGAGGAUGCCAACUGUGGUACCUAUUAGUAAUCUAGUUGCUAGGUUUAGUCACUGAGAAAAUUGUCCUACGAAUAAUAAAUUGCUGUUUUCUUUGUGCAGCCCGACUUCAAGGCAAUAAAGAAGAGGAUCGAAGACUUGAUCUCUAGAGACUAUUUAGAGAGGGACAAGGACAAUCCGAACACGUUCAGAUACUUAGCCUGAUUAAUACUUGGAAAAUGUUCUUUCAUCAUCUCUCUACAAAGCCGCCAACAAUAAUGCAGAAGCACCCGUUCUGGCGGUAAACUCAUCACUUAAAAUUUCUUGUGCUGCUUGAGAGUUUGAUAUACUUUUACAUCGACCCAUGAGCCUUGUUGUACCCAGAGGAAUUCUACACUGUCAUACUUGCACCACGUCAUCAAUAACAAGCCAAUCACAUUCCUUCUUUUCAAACAAAAGUACAAUAAAAAUACUUUUUUACAAUCAUGAUGGGACAUAUAUUCUUAAAAGGAUUAAUUUGAUUGGUUUGUUACGCCACGUCACUAAUAUACCCGUUGCAUUCUAGAAUUUUUCGUUGUACCCAUCACCUACUAUUAGGUGUCACUGCCAAUAAUUGUAGGUAUCUUUCGCUGCUAACUACAGGAAAAGUGUCUUUAGAUCCUGUUUACCUACUCUUCUGCUUUUGUUAUGAACUUUAGUGACCUCCAGUUACUUGUGAGCGUAAAAAAAAAAGAAAAGAAAAGCUGGGAGUUUCUGCUGCUGUGAGAAUCUUAAACGAAUUGUGGACAAGCUAUUGUUGAAAUUUUAGUGAAGUGCUUUUAGAAGCAAUAUAAAUACUACUGCUUCGACCAGCUCUGUCCGGUACAGUAGGGCCGAGCAGGCCCCAUGGAUUGUCCGUCGGGGAUUUCCGAGAAAAUACUGCUUGAAUAUUAGAUGUUUGAAAGGAUGCUGAUUGCUCUUUUAUUAGAAGCGCCUUAAUAGCGUCUCUUUUUGUAGUCCGUGAGUCAUAUUUUGUUUUCUUUUAACAUCUGAAAGCUUAGCUUUUAUUUUUUUGUUGCCUGAAAAGCUUGCUCUAGGCAUUUUGUUUAUCGAGUGCGUGUAGCUUUUUGAAUCACGUAGGGGUGUUUCAAGAGCUAUGCCAACCAAACAGGCCCUUAGAUGAGCUUGAUACCAUCCACUACAGCUUUUUUAUGUUAUACAAAAAAAUUUGAACCCAAUUGCCAACAGAGAAUCACUUAAAUGUCCAGUUACCACCAUUGUAUCUAUUCAAUCUCCACAGACUAUAUAAAUACGUCACACGUACCCCACCCCACCACAGUAUACACGCACAUAUUUAAGAUUUUAUCAGGUGUAUGGUAUAUACUUUGUACAUUGGCUACUUCAAAGACCGCUAAUUUAUGAAAUUAUUAUAGCAACACAUAAACAAUUGGAUCGUUACUAUUAGUUAACCUGAAUCUUAGCAAACUCCAGAGUCUUCUUCCCCUGCAGCUUGUUGGUGACGUAGUGGCGGCUGUAGUCGCCGUGGUUGUACCUCUUGUACAUGCAGCGCUGGUCCCGGUGCACCAGCUCGGCGAGGGGGCCCACCUCCACGUCAUAGCUGGGCGCGUAGAACGUGACCACGGAGAGCCUGUCCCUCUCCUCGUUGGUCACCGCCCUGUGCUCCACGCUCUUGUACCUCCCAUUCGUCACCACCUGUGUUGUUAUUGUUUCGCUUCAUUGAGCAACAAAAUCAUGGGGCAUUUCCAUCUAAUUUUGAUUUUUGGUGUUAGUUACGCAAUGUUUGAUCUGGCCCAGUAAUAAUUAGUGAAUAAUGAUAGUUUGGUUUGACCAUUUCUGAAGCGAUCACAGUGAAAAAAAAAACAUUUACUUUUACCGUGUUUGGCUACAUCAAGAGGUGUUCUGCUCAACGAAUUCAUUUUAUUCUCCAACCAAACACUGUUCUAUAAGUCAAAAAUGUGUGCGCUAAAGUUAAUCAUUUGCUAGAAUAUAUAUAUAUAUAUAUAUAUAUAUAUAUAUAUAUAUAUAUUUGUACCUCAAUGGUGUCUCCAAUGUUGAUCACUAGUGCGUUGGGGAUCGGGUUUACCGGCACCCAGGUGCCGUCCUUGAGGAUCUGCAGGCCGGCGCAGGCAGCGUCCUGCUGCAGCACGGUGAGCGCGCUGCCGUCCGACCGCCUGCACCGCCUCCCCGAACAUGCCCCCGAACGUGUUCGGCGCCAGCCCCAGCGUCUCCGCAAUCACGAUCAGCAGGCUCUCGCAUAGGUUUCUUAUUCCCGCGGAGUACAUCUCUAGCGUCUCGCUGCAGUGAAGAUGAGUUGAUAAUGUUAUUGAUUGAGAUUCUUGUGCUUUUCGUUUAUCAUGGACGUUCAUUUCGAACUUUUACAUCAUCAACUAGGAUAACUGUAACGAUCCAGCCCACUAGCAACAAUAACUCGUGACAACCUCUUUCCCAUCCGAUGUGGGACUCACAAACUUCUCCUGCAUUAAGGCCCUGACGUCCUCGUUAGUCCAAUCACAUACACAGCCCAAGAUCACCAAGUGAUGUGGGACUCGUCUCGCUAGCCCGUCAUCCAAACUCUGGCUCAGUCGAGAUUCACCACACAUGUCCAGUUGGUGAACCGGCUCUGAUACCAAAUGUAACGACCCAGCCCACUAGCAACAAUAACUCGUUGGGCCCAACCACCGGCCCAAAAUGUUUAAGCCCAGUUAUUAUUACUAGUGUCUAAGUCUCUUAUAAACCCAAUGACAACCUCUUUCCCAUCUGAUGUGGGAUUAUUGGGGUGUCACAAUAACGCGCUGUGCUUAUGUGUUGCUGGUGUGGUAAUAAUAAAGCUGUUUAUACAAAGAGAGCACCUGAAGUGAGCAGGGUUUGUAGGCCAGAGGCUAGGGUUUCUGAUGAAGGGAGGCGCCACCCCGAGAGCGAGCAUGUUGCACCAGUCGAGUUUCUGGUCCUCUGAGAAGACGAAGGCGUGGCCGUAGCCCUGAAUCGUGCCCGGCGCCAUCGGAUACUUCUCCUUUUCUUCCAAAGGAAGCAUGAAGAACUCCCGCGCCACCUUCUCCAUGCCAUCCAUCAGCCACUUCUCCACACCGUGGUUCACGACCUAUAUAUAUAUAUAUAUAUAUAUAUAUAUAUAUACAGGUAUGCACAUUUAAACAACUCAUUAAUUCUCUUGAGUUUGUCUCUCACAUAGGAAACAAAGUUACAAUAAGAGAUGACCAUAUUAUAAGAGUUCUAUGCUUGCUCGCAUUCUAUAAUUUACUUUUUGUGUCGAACUAAAACAUUCGUAAUUUAUAUUAAACUUAGAAAAGAUAACAGAUCGAAACUACUUACAAAUUUUGUUUCAGAAUAAUAUCUUGCAAACUGUAAACUUCAGCAUAGGAAAAGUAUAUACUACAGUUAUAACAAGUGAGUAUAUACUGUGAUAUUAAUUGCAUGAGAGAGUUUUACCUAUCAUAAUAAUUCUGUAAGCCAAUUAUAUGUAAGUAUAGCGAGAGAGAUUGCCUAGAAUACUGUUAAUAAUAUUUUGAUCUUUUUGCUAUCCAGUUUUUAACCUUUCGAGAAAAACUUAUAGAAUUGAAAUGAGAGUGAUCCUCGAUCCAAAAUUGAGUGGCGGUCUUUCUAGAGUUUAAUAAUUAUUAGUAAAAUAGUAUUAAUUCAAUAGUAAAAAAUAAUCAAAAUAGUAGAUUUAAUUAACGGUUAAAAACUAAUACAAUUAUAUAUAUAUAGAGAGAGAGAGUUGAGCUAGAAUACUCUUACAAGUACCGAGGGAUUGGUGUUUUUGAGUAUUUUUUAGCUAUUGGAUGAAGAGAUGUAAGGUUGAGAUAAUGAUGACAGGUGAUGAUAGAUAAAAUUUUAUAUAUAUAUAUAUAUAUAUACCUGGAAGAAGCCCCACUCCUUGCAGGCGGCGGCAAGCUUCUGCAGCUCAUCGGCGGCGUGCCAUUUGGAUCCCAGCUUCGACAUGUCGAUGACGGGGACGUCUCCGGGCCCCACCACCGCUGCCGCAGCAACAGCAGCAGGGCGCUCCUCGGGGGCGCGGACGUACCUCUCGGGCACGAACGCGGGACUGACCCGACGGAGCUCCUGGAUGUCCUCCACGUGCCCGAUCCUGACGGCCGCGGGGCUCUCGCCGCACAGCACCGGCGCCAUCGAUCAAAAGAGCAAGAGCUUUAAGAUUUGUGCUCUGAGAUAGGCGCUACUGCUGAUAACAAAGUGUGUACUUUGGUCCUUGGGAAUAUUGGAGGAAACUUCACGUGUAUAUAUAUAUAUAUAUAUAGGUAAAAAGGAGGUUUAAUUGGUUUCGCCCGUUCAUUUCACUUUUAAAUUUAAUUGGUUUGGGACAAAAAAAAACAAAAAAAACAAAAAAAAUUGGUUGGAAAGUUUAUUCAAAUUUGUUGUGGCUGUUCUAUAUUUAUUAUUUGAGAAGGUAUUAACAUUCGAAUAAAAAUUUUAAAUUAAAGUUAAAUUUUUAAAAUUUGUAUGCAAAAUAAAUUACAUGACUACAUAAUUAAUUUUGCUCUCCGGUUUGGGAUCGAGGAGUCAUUGGGUGGGCGUGGUUUUGGUCAAUUGGUGUAAUUAUGGGGAGAGUGCAUGCGUGUGCGUGGUGGCUCAGCAAGUUGAUUCUUUUCUUCUUUUCUUUUCUGUUUUUUUUUUUGGGUCAAGUAUGGUGGAGUGCUGUGUAGGGGCUUCUUUUUUCUUUUUCUUUUUUCUUGUCAGAUUAAUUUAUUAGCAAUCAUGUAAAUCCAUCUGAGACAUCUUAGGAAGAGUACUUACAAACUGAGCUAGUAGUUGGACCUCUUAAAUAAUUUUUUUCUUUCUUUGAUCAAGAAAAGAAUAGCAGGUUAUUUGUUUCAUUCAUUAGAAAGAUGUACUGAGUAAUAUAGAUGAGGCAACAUAAGUCUCGGAGUGUGUGAAAAAGAAAUACUACUAGUUACAACAACGUCGAUCUGUAGACAGAGACAACUCCCGACGAUCAAAUAAAUGUUUAAUCUUAUAGACUGCUAUUAGCUAGUUGAUUGAGCUGGAUCUUACUAAAUAUCACACCGUCCCUUGCCUCCCAUAUAAGCCACCAGCAAGCUACCAGACCGGAUAUAUAACUUAGUACUCAUAGACUGUGAUCCUUUCUUGCUUAGGAGAUCGAGCAAAGAUCAUAACUAAUAUUGUUGAAAUGUGACUCUAGCCCUUUAAAAUAUACAGUUGGUACCAGGCUAUUAAGAAUGAUUAUCCGUGUCUGAAAAUCCUUUCUUGAUUAAUAAGAAGAUAGUUAUGUGGGAAAGUGAAAAUCUCNUUCAAAGCGUGAUUGGGGGAGGGUUUUUUUUUUUUUUUUUUUUUUUUUUUUUUUUUUUUUUUUUUUUUUGGUUUUGAGAGAGAGGUAACCUCACGCUACCUGUUUCGUUUAUUUCAUUUAGAAAUAAACUUAGCUGGAAAUGUGAAUCAACUAGGAUUCAAACUUGAAUCUUGAAUACCAACCAUAAGUCUUUUGUCGCUUGCUCUAGAGACAGUCGGUAUUAGAGACAGAAUUAUUAUUUUACAUUGUAGGAGAGCAGAAGCCUCGGUCCCCAGUCUAUGGCUAGUAGAGAGCAAGAUCUCAAUGACAGUGAUUGUACAUAAUUUGACAACAGAGAUGGUGUUGGUCAUGGAAUCAAAAAAGCAAAUGCUAGUAGUGGUGGUGGUGGUGGUGGUGGAGUUAAUGGCAUGCAGAGGAGGAAUCUUUGAGGAGAAAGUAGAUUUGGGAUCUCACCCUGACCCUUCCAGUAAGAUAAUCUACCCACUCUCUCUCUCUCUCUCUCUCUCUCACAAAAUAGGGUUAAUUACACUAGUAGUCCCCAACCUUUCCACCAAUUUUCACCUGGAUUCCCAAUCUUCUUUUUUUUUUUGCAAUUGAGUUUCUAAUCUCUUGGUUUCAUUUCAAUUAAGUCUCAGCCGUUAAAUAUGUGUUAAAAUUGACGAAAAAUACCACGUCGGCACCAUGUCAGCACGACGGAGACGCCAUGUCAGCGCCACGGUGACGUUGUGUCGGCGGAUUGCAAAAAAAAGAAAGGUUAGGGGCCAAAUUGAACGACGCUGACAUGGCGUCACCGUGGGAUCCCCAAUCUUUCUUUUGCAAUCCGCUGACACAACGCCACCGUGACGCCGACAUGACGCCUCUAUGGCAUUGACAUGGUGCUGACGUGGCAUUUUUCGUCAAUUUUAACACUUAUUUAACGGAUGAGACUUAAUUGAAAUGAAAUAAAGAGAUUAGGAACUCAAUUGCAAAAAAAAAAAAGGUUGAGGACCCAAAUAAAAAUUGCUGGAAAGGUUGGGGACGGCUGGUGUAAUUAACCCCUCAAAAUAAAAACUCAAAACCAAAGCCCAAUUGGAAACAGCUGUUUGCAAGCCCCCGACAAGACUUAGUGAUGGACAUAUAAAACCUCAAGCUCACCAAACACACUUUGUUGAGGAACUUCCUGAUCUACUAUCACCUAUAAAUUUUUAUCUCUAUUCAAUAAUUCGUUGAGAUAUAUUCUUAAUAAUAAAAUUCUCAAAAAUAUUUCGACUUUAAAGGAAAGAAUUAUAAUUUCUCAAUAAAGCUAAAAGUAACACAUAGUGACAAAUUAAGGUUACUAAACAAGGUAUCAUUAGGGGGAGCUCCGAUUGAAGUUUUUUUCCGUGAUCAACUGAUGGUGUUGCAUGUUUGGUGCUUUUGCAUAUUUAUUUAUUAUGCAACAAUUCAGAAAAGACAAGGAAAAAAAAAAAAAACAAUGCUAUUCAUAUGUACAUCUCAGAACUAGGUACACAUUUUACAUCUCGUUCAUUCAAAAUACUUUAUAUUCUACUUUUUUAUUAAAAAAUUUCAACUAAAUAUUCAAAAAAAAAUUGUAAAUACUAGGAUACACAUAUGAGAUGUAAAAUAUNUCAUCAAGAACAUUUUGAUAGGACAAGUGCUCCUAUCCUAUUAAUAGGAUAGUAGCUCUAGCAUAUAUAUAUAUAUAUAUAUAUAUAUAUAUAUAUAGUCCAGCUACUAUGCUAUUAAUAGCACGAAGCACUUGGUGCUAUCAAGUUUUCUACCGUUAGAUCUAUCAUUUUGAUCAUUUUCACCAGCUAGAUCAUAUUAUUUAACCAACCAGCCACUCAACCCUAGAGAGGUCAUAUUAUCCUAACCGCACAUCUCCUAAUCUAAUGGUGAAAAAUUUGGUAGCACCAAUAACUUAGGUGCUAUUAAUAGUAUAUUAACCUAGUUCUAUAUAUAAUAUUUUUUAUAGGAAAAUGCUGUUUAUAUACUCCAUAGAGGUGUAUAUCUUGCACCCUCGAAUUGGUGAAUCCAAGAGCUCAACCGUGAAUAAAUGUGAGGCACAAAGAGACUAGGAUAUAAACUUUAUAUAUAAAUAUUAUAGGGCGUAGGCAUAGCGUUGCUCGUAUUUUGGUAUCUUUUACCAUAUCUCGUUGCUUCUUAAUUACGAUGUCUCAUGGUGUAUUUUUGAGCUAUAGGAUCCGAAUUAAGUGCAUUUCCUUGCUUUAGUGUAAGUACCUUAACUCACCUUUAAUUAAUUAGCAGGCAUUAAUUCAGGUGGCUUAGCGACCUUUCACUCUUUUAUGAUUUCUCAUUAAUAUAAUUUGUACUUUAACUUCACUUUAAUUAGUAGGCAUUAAUUUAUACGGGUCUUCGACUGUUAUAACUCUUCAUUAAUAAAAUUUCGAAGAUGAUACCUCACUAACUCAUGGAGCAAAAACACCAUUUCAACGUAGAUGAUUUGUUAUCUUAGUUUAACAAGGAAUUGUAGUCCAACAAUUGAAGGAAAUAACCAUAAAUAUCUUAACAAAAUAUAUAUAUAUAUAGAAACGUGGAUAUAUAAAUAAAUAACUAAAUAAAUAACCAGCUUCCACUUACUACUACUAUGGAAGGACAUUAGUGGGGCAGGUGAAGAGACUGGUCAACAACACAACACAAAGAAAAUAAAAAAUAAUAAUUGUAAUAAUAGUAAAAGGAAAAAAGAAAAAGAAAAAGUGAGGGCCCAAAUGGUUAUGUGGAUACAAAGAGGCGUGACCGAGUGAAGGAGUGGGUGCUAAAUGCUAAAGCUUACGUGGGAUCUUUGAAUCUCACUGCAUUUUGAGCCGUUCUUUCCUCUGCAGUAUCCUCCACCGUCCAUUAAUUCUUCCCCCUUUUGAUUGAUUGAUUGAUUGAUUGAUUAAUAUAAUAUUUUCUACCAAAGUUCGAUAAACUUUUUUAUAAAUGAUGCCAAAAUAUGAUCUUCUGCAUCAGGAAGUUCUACCGAUCAGACGUUAAGCAUUCGCAUUCGGGUGUAGCGUCAAUAAUAAAAUUAGACGAAAUUACAUGAAUACAUUUCGACUAAUUAAUAAAAUUAUAAUAGCCCUAAAUUUGUCUUAUGAUUAUUAUGAGCUUUAUUAUACAAUAUGACAACACUUGAUGGACAAAUAAAGCAGGCUUUGUACACAUUAAAUUCCGCGGUUUAGUAGUGGAAUAGUAAUUUUUCUGUUCUAAGAAGCAACAACAAGGAAUAAAGCAACGAAAAUGCCUAGGCCUCGAUUCAAUGGAGAGCUACAAAUACUCCAUAUAAUAUGCUAAAACUGUUCUGCCUGUAACACUCCUAAAUGGUGAGAACCAAAAUUAAACUUAAAACUUCUCGUAAAGCUCAAGAGAAAGCAAUACAAUUUUACAUGCAAACCGUCUAUAGUUGGAAAUAAACUAACGCAGUGCCUGGAUUGUUCUAUUGUAAAUGUGAAUUGAUCCGAUUCAUUAACGUUUAUGUACAUCAUUGGUGAAGGUAGUCCGCUUCAGAAGUGUCGUAACGAGAUCGCCUAUUUGUGCUUAAUCCACACAAAUCCGUGCUCUCUACAUCUUUCGCUAGCAGAAACUCACUAUGCCAAUCCGAAAACAGCGAAGCAAUGUGCAAUCAGCGGCUGUCAAAUUUGGUCAAAAAUGAAUAAGAUUUUCUAGUUCGCGUUCACGAUUCAUUUGAAAAAACCAAAAUAAGAUGCUAUCCUACUAGUAUUAAGACGUAGCAACCGUAUAAAAUAGUGAACAAUACGACAAGGAUUCAAUUCGCACAGCUAUUCUUUUUGUUUUUUCCCUUUUCAUCAUGCGGCCUAUACUGUACCACUACUACAUGAUCAUAUUAAAAGAUUCCUAUUAAGCUAGCAUGUCAAUGUGAACUUAUACGGUGAUGCUUUCUAAAAAAUUGUUUCAUAUAAACAGUAUCGUAGGAACUUUUACCUAGCAUGUCAAUGUGAACUUAUACGGUGAUGCUUUCUAAAAAAUUGUUUCAUAUAAACAGUAUCGUAGGAACUUUUACCUGUUGUGAUGUUGACGCAGCGCCAAUGAGACAGUGAAAGUAGUACUCUAGCUUUUAUUAGCAUCAUAAUUGAGAUUUUAACUGGCUUCCUCCACCCUGUUCCGCACAUUAUAGGAGAUAAGCUGUCAACAUACAGAACUGAAAGAUAAGGCACUACAUUGCAGAUACUGUUCGGGGAAAAUAUAUACCUGUUCGGAGAGUAUUAGAACCGCAACUAUUAAUGGAUAAUAACAUAAAAGGGACAAUGUUAUACGUAAUAUUUACAGGCUGCCACAAGUUUCUCUCAGACACAACCGCUUAAUAUAUUGAUCAUGUCUCCCAGAAUGGAGAAAACAACCUACAAAACAUAAAUGAGGAUCAGUUAGUCAACAAUGGAUUCAGUUAUAAUAUCUGCAAAUGAAAAUAAGCUUUCUUAUAUGAGAAAUCUUAUGAAAUAGGGAGGACAUCACAUACCAUAAUCUCCAAAGUCAAUUUCGCACAACUCCAUAAAUAUUUCUUUGUGGUGAUACAUCUCAUGUAGGAACAAAAUGAGCUUAACAGAACAUAAUUGGUUAUUACUUUGUGCAUCACUUCCCAUGAGGAUAAUAUAUAUACAGUUGCCAAAAGUUUAUACUCGUACUGAAGAGACUUAUACAACCUCGCUUGUGGUGUGAUCUUCACACAUCCUGUCUAUAGUCAAACCAUUUCACUUUCAGCAUCUCUGAUAUCACUUUAUCCAUGCUAUAAUUCAUUUUAUUGAGGGCCGCAAAGAAUACUUUCUAGAUAUUAAACACCCAUCUCUAUGUACAUUUUUACAGGAAGUUCGCCGCUGAAGCCCAACCUCUUAAAGAAGUGAAAUUAAACGAAAUUCCACAUUUUGCCUCACUGUGCAGCGAAUAGGAGAGGCAAGAAGCAACGAGAGAAAUAUCCUACAGCUUCUAUUCACAGGGUUCAUGUUUCCUCAAUCUUUUCAAAAGCUUAUCUAGUGAUGGACUCCAGUGAAAGGCGUACACGCUGCAGUAGCCCUUUAACAUUGUGGAAAUUGAAAUCGAUAACUUCUCUUAUGGAGAUGAUGCUGUCAGCCCCAUCCUUUUCAUUGCUGGCAAUAGCCGCAGCAAUAGCAGCCUGUGAUUUUCUAGUAGCUUCGAAUGCACAAUUCAGAUCAUUUGUCUGCAAUCAGAUUAAUUCAACGAUGAAUCAAUUCUGAAGUAUCCAGUAACCAAAACAAUCAAUAAAAUUGCACUACAUAAUUAAAAUUGCCUUUCAUAGGAAUAACAGAGAGGAUGACGAUAGUGCAGGACAAUGAGCUCAAAUGCUUGCUUGGCCUUGCAGGGCUUUUGCAGCAAGCGCUUUCUUGGGAAGAGUUAAUUGAAGAAGUACUAACAGUUUUUCUAUCAGAACCCCCUAUUAAUAGCGGGAGAAGUAGCUUCAAAAUGAAGCUUCUACUAUUGGGGCACAAAAACUCAUUGUAGCUUUCCUACCAGAGAAAAAGCUCCAGAUAUUUAGUUUGCCAAACACCUAGCUAAAGCUUCUCAAAAUAUAGAAGACAUUCCGGAAAGCUAGAUCAAAUAGAAACCAAGCAAAGAAAAGGAAACUUCCAAAAAAUAGCUCUUCGAUGGUUCAUGCAAGAUAUUUAUAUUAUGAGCUUGACUUAGCACAGCCCAGAACGAAAAAGAACUGAAAUCAGCCACUUCGCAUAAAAAACGAACUAUUGUUGUAUUACCAAAAGUUUUAAAUGAUAUAGAUGUAUCUUGGACCAUAUAAAAAUUAAAUAGAGCAACUUACAUAAGCAAGCAACCGGAUCAGAUUGUGAUGGUUACGAGUAGCUACAUGAUUGCCAGCAACUUGAGGAGAAUUUACACCCUUGGCAGCAGAAGCAGCCUUACUUGCUGUACACUGGUUAUUUAAAUUAUCUACAUCUGAAGCAGAGGAUGAUGGAGACUCUCCUGCAAAAAUAACAGAUAGCAGAGAGAAGUAAGUCAAUGGGAAAAGCGGUGACACAUUGUAGGAAGUAUACAAAGAAACGAAUGCAGUGACACAUUCUAGCAAGUAUACAAAGAAACAAAUACGGAAAGCCAACAGAACAUGUACAACCUGAGAUACUGCAUCAUUGUUCUUGUUACUAGAAAUACUUUUUAUACAUAAUAAAACAAAACUUUUCUAUAUAAAAACCUAAAGACAAUGACAAUUCUUUUGGCGAAUCAUUAUUUGCGGUUAACAUUCUGGUGUGAUGCAGUUAAAGUUCGAGGCUGAAACAUUCAACUUGCAUCAUUGUUUGCAGAUCCACUCCCCAGUUUUCUACAAUCACAGCUUUUUGCCGAUCUAGUACCACAACUGAUACAAUGAUUAGAGAUAAAGCAGUAUCCACUACCAUUCUAGAGCAACAAACAAUACUUAGGGGCCCGUAACUGAGAACAAACACAAACAAUACGAAAAAUCUCAAGAAAUGAUGAAUAUUCAACUAACCUAGUGUAACCAUUUGUAGGGCAGCUUGCAAUUCAUGUCGAUCUUUGCUUGCACCAGGAUAUUUGUAGUAUGCAGCCUUCAUAUAGGCCACUUCAACACACUUAUAUGCUAAAGCAGCAGCAGCCAUUUCCUUGCAUCGCUCAUAUUCAUGAGCACAAAACCUGCAAAAGCAACAGAGCCAAGUAUGCCCAUUGUUGAACACAUUAGAUGUGCACAUAACCACAAACAAGCAACCUCUAGAAAAAUUGUUUGGGUAUUUUUCUACUGUAAGACAAGAUUGUAAAUAAUAGCAUAUCACUGUAAAAAUGUAAAUAUGAGCAUACCAUCCUAUCCUUCUACAGGAAGUGUGUGAAAAAAGUUAUAAACCCAGAUUCUCUCCAUCAAAUAUUAGUACAUCCUCGACAAUUUUCUUGAUACAUCAAGAUUCUCAAUCUUCUAGAGUAAGUCAUCAAGCAACAUGUUAAGAACUUCCAUUCAAUCUUGUAGUAUAGGUUAUCAAGGGAUUGAACACUACUACUUGUUCCAACAUUCAAGUGUUUUAACUGAAAAGGAGGCUCUCAUUUCAAGCAUCAUAUAGAUUUUAUUUAGCAAAAAGAAAGAACUGCCACUGAGUGGGUUCCUAAAUGGUACUUGUUGCUGAUAUGCUCACACAUCCUAGGACUAACCAAUCAGCCGGAACAUAAAGCAGCAAGUAUGCAGAGAAUACUGGCAAAAAAUUACACAUAUAUAUGUUCGAUCAUCUAACAACUAAAUACAGUAUUAAAAUUGAACCGCAAGUUGCGAGACUGUCAGUUGCUUUCAGCCAAAUAACAAAGUACUAGACUUUUAGGCUAAUAAAACACAGGAGUUUAUUCAUGCUAACAUUCUGCAUUGUUGUAUAUGUUAUAUAGUACUUGCAGUUUGUAAUAGUGAAAUUACUAGGUUUACUGUUAACUUAUUUACAAAUCAUGUUGAACAGAGUAAAUUUUAUAACUUACUCGCAAAGUUUUGCAGUUUCUGAGUACAUCUGCAUGGAUUGAGCUGUAUCUCCUUGCUUCGAGCUAUCAAAACUAAGGGGCUCCCAAAGAGAAGCAACAUGUAAAAAUUUUAAGGCGGCCUCAAAAUAUAGGCCCCUACCUUCUCGUUCCUUUCCUUCAAUCUGCAAAAUGUCACAUGCUCAAUCUUUUGUUAAGGGAAAGUUCAAGAUAGACAGUUAAUUAAUUCACGAGAAGACAAUGUCAACCUUCAAACGAUUAGCUCUAUGCUUCAAAUCUCGAGCUUCUUUCAAGACAAUAGCUGCAGCAGAAUGGCCAUCCUUCCUAAGUGGACUUGAAGAAUCCUGACCAUUAAGUAACGCUUGCCUCAAACUGUUAUGUUGAACUCCAUUUAGAGUACCAGGCUUUCCAUUUGGAAUGUCAGGCUUUCUUGAUUGUUUGGCCCCUUUUGAUGAAUCAGAAUUUACAACAUCAGUGGAAUAUAGUUCUGCUCUACUAGCCUUGACAGGUGAGCAGGCCAUUUGAGAAAAGCGGGUUUGUUCUUCUUGUUUAUUUGCUCUAGGUUGCAACUUGUCUGUUACAGAUGGUAAUUCUGCUUGACCAUUUUGAUCCGAAAGCAAAUCAAUUGAUAAUUUUUCAUCUCGGAAAGAUGGUUUUAUUUUCAGGUCUUCAUGCACGUCAGAAUUACCACCUUUUGCUUCUGUAAAAGCAGCUCUUGAGUCAAAAUCCUUGUGCUGCUUAGAACGCAUGGAAGGCCUAUAUUCCUCCAAACUUUCUUGGGUUCCAGAAUUCAAGUGAUUAUCCCUUCUACCUACACCAUAAUAGUUCCCCAUAUGCUCACGUUUCUGCAGUAAAUCAUGCUGAUCUUUCUCCCUAACAUCAUCCACCUUUUCUUUUAAGGUUCCAGAAACUUCAAAAUUACCUUUGUCAACAUCAGAUUUAUAGUUUCUAAGUUUGUCCUUGGAACGUGAAAAAGAACUUUUCCCCGACUUUUGAUGACUCAUACCAUCUGUUCUUCUAUUAUUAUUCGUCUUAUCAAAAUCCUGAGCAUGCCUUUUAUCUGGGGUUUCAUGAACGUAGCUGCUAUUGAUAUCUAAUCCACCUACAACUUUUAUCUUUUCAGUCUCGGAGGGUAGCAGAUCAUCAUGGGAAGCCCUUUUCAAAUGUAAUUCGCCAUCUGACCAUCUUUUUGGGUUACCCACUUUACAGGAAACAACAUUCAUAGCUUCAUCCUUCAUGAUGGAGUUUUUGUCAAAGAUCUUCUCAGCAUUAGAAACUCUAAAUGGGGAUGAAGAAACUGACUCUACUGGAGAGCCUCUUUGUUCCUGAACAUUAACUUUACUUUUGAAGGAGCCGGAAACUUUCGAAGAGCUCGACGUAGCUGCUCCUGCAGAAGCCUGCGCAUAAGCCAUUUCCCUCUUCAAAGAAGAGUCCAUGGCCUCCAUGGUCCCCUUUACUUCAGACCUCGCAACUUUUGAUGACUUUUCCUUUGAGACCUUUCUCACAAAUGAGGCUUCAUUAGCAACAAUAUGGCUGUCCAAAAGCUGCUGGCUGCCAACGUGAUCAUCCACAUUGCGUUGACUCUCCUGCCACUCUUUCACUUUCCUCUUCUUUGCAGAAGGCUCUGGCUUAUUUCCAGAUCUUUCAAUGUCGGAACUGCUAAAGAAGUCUACGUUCUCCCUAUUCGAUAAAAUUUGGUCUCCAUAUUUUAACCUCUUUGAAGAUGUAGAUAGAUGGCCUUUAGAAACAACAUCACCAUACUUCUGUGAAGAUCUUGCCAUUUGUUUAGUCGACGGAACAGUACUUGCAAUUGGAACUGUCUCUUUGUCUAGAUUUAAGUCUGGGUGCCAAUCAUCAGCAGAUUUGUGCAGGUCUUCUUUCUUAACUUUUUUAGAUGCUCUGAUAUCAUCUUGAUCAACCACUCUUUUGCUCUUCAAUUUUGAAUGCUUUCUACUCUUUUCAAUUAGAUCUCCUGUUGCAAGGUAAAACAAAUAGUUAACGACAAUGUUGAAAGAAGUAUAAGACAAAAUGCAUGAAGAAAAGCAACUAAGGGCACCUCCAUCUGGAUGAAUUUCCAGGUUCUUGUGCUUCUUGGGCCUGGGCUUUUCCUUCUCUUGGGUGAAGUCCAACGACUUGCUCUCAAGACCCACGGCAGUUUUGCUGUUUUUCAUAGAGACCUGAGGGUUCUUUUUCAGAGAAUUUGAAACCUGCAUUAGGCUUGACUGAUUGGGUAUUCCAUCCUUGGGGCCAUAUUUCUUCCUCACAGAUGUGCCCAUUGACAGCAUAUUAUGUUCACUUCUUUGAUUAGACGGUUGAGCACCGGCCAUAGUUACGCUUGAAGCAGGAAGAUCAUGACGAGCAUCUAAAACAACAGCACUUUCAGGGGCUGGAACCAUGUACAAUGCAUUCAGAGCUUUUGUUGUCUCUUCCUCGCUUAUGUUGCAACUAUUCAUUCCAGGUCUAUAAAAGAGUUUCAAAUAUUAAAACGAGGACAGUUUAUGUGCUGCAAAAGCACUUUUAACUGCGGUACUUAUAAUUCGAACAAUGAUGAGUCAAUGGCAACAAAACCACAAAAGACCAAGAAUUUCAGAAAUUCUGAAACAGCAACAAGAUAAUAGAAUUCCAUAAAUGUACCUCCUAAAUUUCAGAUGUCAUUAGACAUAAAAUGUAAACAUAGUUAACUAAUAACACCUACAAUUAAUAUGCAUAGAGAAAUAGCAAGCGCAUAGGGGAAAAAGACAAAAAUGAUUAAGCAUAAGCUGUCAUAACUCAAGUGCACUUCAGAGAAAAACUUACAGCCAGUUAAGCAAGCUACACUGCCACUUUUUUGGAAGAUGAUCUGGGUUGGUCCCAUAAGGUAAUAGACGCCAUUUUUGACAUAUAUCGCAGCAUACCCAAUGUUCCUCAAUUACAACAGGAGCAGGGGCCGGAGCAAUUGCCUCUAUAGCAGUUGAAGCAUUUUGUAUUAGCCUAUUAUCAAAUUCCUUAGAUAUUGAAUUAUUAUCAAUCUUUCUACUGCUUAACCAGUCCCUUGAUGUUUCCCCAUGCAUGACUUCCUUCACAUUUUCAGCCUCCAUGGAUUUUGGCUUACUUUUUUGCUGUGAAUCUCGCAGAUUACUUUCAUUCUCCAAUGCACCACUCAUGACACCUCCAUGAGAUUCUUUCAAGAAGUCACCACUCAUCUCUUUACGGUAUUUAACUUUAGGCUGCUUUUCAGACUGAUCAGUUCCUGCAUGAGAGCUUUUCUUCUUUUCUUUUACUGCUUUAGAGGACUGAACACCCUGGUUGUCCUUCAAGAACUCAACUGAUGAUUUACCAUUCAUCUGACUUCCCUCCUGUUUACCUUGUAUGUCAAAAAAUUCCUCCUUUCCUUGCAUGACCUUUUCUCCAUCUUGUUCACAUGAAAUAGUUCUGUAAGUUUGAUCCUUCCUACCAUAAUACAUCUCAGAAUCAACUUUAGCUGUAUCACCAUAUUUCUGUACUACUUUGUUUUCUCUUUGGAUAUCAAUCCGAGAAUCUUUGUGGCUAUCUGUGAUUCCUUCCGAUGCUUUAACUACUUUGCUUAUUUUUGAGUUCAAUUUCCCCUUUAAAUAAGCAUCCCCAUCUUCCGGAUUGUCUGCCCCCUUUCCGUCCAUGACGCUCAUGAAUUCCAAUUUAUUUUUUGGUAAUUCAGAGGUGCUUAUCCUGCUUUUGCCAGAAGCACUUUCCAUUUCCUUCGAGCGACCUAACAUCCCACUGGCACCCUUUGCUGAUUCAUCAGCCAACUCAGAAGAAAUCUCCUCUCCUUCAACGGAAAGUUUGGCAUCAAUAUCUCUAUUCAGAGUUGUGCUUAUGUCAUCUAAGCAAUUUGAAUUCCUCACACCAACAUACCCCCCUUUCUUUUCAUCAGGCUUUGUCUUCUUUGGUGCAUGGCCUUUGGCAUCUUUUGCUGGGAGAGUUAAAUCAUUUAGGCGUUCACAUGGUUUAGAAAUAUUCUUAAAAACUGUGCUUGUUUUAGACUUUUUUAAGAAAUUUGUCGCUUUUUCUGCCAAUUGCAGCACAUUUCCUUGAAGUGGAGAGACUAAAAACCCACCAGGAACAGAAAAGCACGUCAUCAUCUGUUUAACAGCAAAUAGAAAGAAAUAUAUAAGCUACUUAAAGCUCGGGAAAUAAAUUGGGUAAACAUUUGGAUACUCCCUGCGCUAUCCUGAUAUUGCAACUUAGCCUUUGAACUUUUCACUUAACACUUCAGCCCCUAAACUUUCUCAUAUACUAAGAUUCCAUCCUUGCCUGCUAAAAGGACCAAGUUUAUCAUGCAAAUCACCAUUUACCCUUCUGAAAACGACUUUGUGCAUCGGUGAAAUUAAAAAGUGUUAAACUGGUUAUUUCAUAAUAAGUCCUGUGGUGAGGGACAGUGUUUAUGCAAGAAGUUCAGGGAUUGGUCUGAAUAUCAGGAUAGCAUACAUAUGCUACAUGCUAUAUCAACGGAGGAACCAAUAAGUGGCGAAGAUUUACCUCAAGAAUUGUCCGGGGCGAUUCAUCAUCCAUGUCUCCAAAAUCAGGAGAAAGCUCCCCGCUCCCCUCAGCACUAUCGUCCAGCGAGGAAGAAGGAGAAAUAUCAAGGCCCAAACCACUGUAAAUAGCAGCAUUAUUUCUUGCCAAAGCGUUAUCAGAGCCCACUCUGAUGCGAACUUUCAAUGACUUCUGGUCACUAGUAUUAACAGAUCUACUUGGAGCAGACUCCCCAUUAUCCUUUUUCCCCGAAUUUUCCGUAGAAGAUAUGUUGUUUCUAGAAAUAGAUGCACUCUGGCAGGAUAGAACAAGCAAAUUUCAACACCAUAACUUGGGUGGUGUAUAUGAAUCUUAUGAUAAAAGGACAAUUUUAUAGGACUAAGCAUUACAAAAUAUAAAUUCAAAAUAUAAACAAAUCUACCUCCGACGCCAGGUUGUAAGGAGAUCUUGAACCAUUGUGAUUUGGUAUUUUAUGUGGGCUUCUCGGUUGGGGCAAAGUUAAAGGUGAACGCUGGUAAGUGGGCAAAAAUGAGCCAUAUCCUCCAAAUUUUGGCCCUAUUAACAAAUAACUAAUCACCAUUAUUAUCUGACAAACUAUUUGAAGUAGCUUCUUUUUCCUGUUCUAACUCUUACCCAAGUUCUCAGCGGAGACUCCGCCCUCAAAGUCUUUCUGGAAAUGUCCCAAUACAUCCUGAAGUUUUUCAUCCUGAGAGAAAAACGCAAUCACGUUCCGUAAGGGACAAUAUUCUCGACCACAUUCCGUUUGAUUAGUAUACACGUGCAAUCCAUAUGCAUUGCAAACACCUAACUUUAUUUUACUUUGUGCACAUACUUGCUAAUUUUGUGCAGGCAAAAGAAGGUGCUAGUAAUAACUAACUUCCGCACUGAUGAUCAAACCUUACUAAUCGGGCCCGAAAGGAAACUAUGAUCUCAGAGAACAUGCAAUUUCAAAGGCUGAUCCCUCCCUAAAACAAAACUAUAUGUGGAGAAAUUAUCAAAACAACAAAAGAAUAGAGUUCCAGUAUAUCUCUCAGUUGAAACCAAUGUUUCCGCAAUUAGGCCAAAUCCUGUAAAUUGUGACCAGUAAAUGAACACCACCAGCAACCGACAAAUCGACGCAACGAACACUAAGAGCCGUAUUCAUCAGAUGCAUCAAGUUAUGUGUUUAUCGAACGACAAAAUCAAAUCUUUCGGGUAAUAAUAGUGCCAAAAGAUCAAAAUUUUGAGAAGGCCUUACGAGGUACGAAAGGGCGACGUCCGGGUCGACGCAGGAGACCUCCUCCGGUCCGGAGCACGCCUCGCCCUCCUCGAGCUCGUUCUCCUCCAUCUCCUCUCCCCCACCAAACCCCAACCCUAACCCCUCUCUCCCAUCCUCCCUCCUCCCCACCGACAACAUCCAACCCCCCCUCCUUCCCNACCCCCACCCCCACCCCCACCAAACCCUUCAAUCCCAAACUCCUACCCAAACUCCCCAAUCGGUUUUCUUCGUCUUCUCCAACGCAAACCCUUGAACCGCCUCCCGAUCGGCGGAGCCCCGCGAUCGAGCUCUCGCCGACGAGUCCCGGAGAUCCGGGGCCCGAUUUCGCGCUAUCGAUCGGUGCGAGAUCGAUCACGAGAUCGCGAUUGGCGAGGGAGAAGGGGGGCGCGAUCGAGCGAGCGACCGAUCGAUCGAUCGAGGGUUUCCCCAGCCGCGAUCUUUUCCCUUCUUUUAUUGCGUCUUCCUCGCUGUGGGCCUCGUGGCGUUCUACCGCCGCGGAGAGAGGAAGAGAGAGAAAGAGAAAGAGAGAGAGAGAGAGAGGAGAGAGACAAAAAAAUGGAAAAUAAAUUAAUUCGUUAUCACGUUCCUUCUCUUAUUUCCUUGUGCAUUGUAUGGGCACUACACCGAAUCCUUGCAUGGACCACGUUCACCGCGUCAUCCAUGGACCUCCGCGAGAUCCACCCUCCAUUUUGGUCCUUCCAAAAAUCGACUCCGUCUAGUUAAUCUCAAUUUUAUAAAAACUUAUAAAUUUUUUUUUUUUUUGGGGGAAGUAGAGGAGAUUCGAAGGAUAUUAGAGUUGGUCUACGGAUGACGUGGUGAACUCUAUCCAUGGAUUUUUAAUAAAUAAUUUUUCCUUUUUUCUUUUAUUUUUCGUUAAUUUUAUUUUCUUGUUCCGCUUCGGCUGUUGGGGAUCUACAGCAGUUCUUUCCAUCCCAAAUUCCAUAGUACCCAAUAGAAAAUUGACACGUGGCCAGAAUUGGUAUCUCCUGUUUGAACGCGGAUGUGCGAUGCGGGUGUGGCGCCGUCUUGCCGUGUGGGGCCACGUGGCAGGGGGCCGGAUUGGUGGCGUGUGCGAGUCUCAUACACUGUUCGCAAAAUCUUAUCGGACGCUUGAUCAACGAUCCAGCCGCUAAAUUUCCAACACGUGUCACCUUUGCUGGGGACAUUGCCAUUCGACUAUAGAGAGCUUUAGGGCCUAUUUAUUUAAGUGGAAAUUAUUUUCAGUUGUAAAUAAUUAUUUUUAUUAUUUAUUCCACUGUUAUAAAAAAACGGUUGAAACUCGGAUUGUCCAAAAUAGAUUACAGGCCGAAGUUAAUUAUAGUGAAUAAAUGUAAAAAAAUAAUAUAAUAAUAUAAUCAGUGAUGCUUAUAAUUAUAUUUAAAUAUAUUUAAUUACGGUACUAAUUACUCUUUUAUUUAGUUUGCAUAUUUAAAACAUGAUAAAAUUUGAUUAGUUAUGAUUUAGUAUCUGUUCCCUUUAGUCUGUACAUUUAAAAUAUGGUAAAAAUUGAUUAAUUAAUUAUUUAUAUUUUUUUACUUUAUAAUUUUAUAGUUGUAUUAUUAUCAUUUAUUAUAGAUUUAUAGAUAAAAAUAUUUUAGUUGUUAUAAAUUAAUUUUUUUAAUUAUAUUAUAAUUAUUUUUAUUUAUUAUAUUAUAAAUUAUUAUUUAUGUAUAAACUAUAUUUUACAUCGUUCACUUUUUAUAAAACAAACAAAAGAACUAAAAAAAACUUUAUUUCUAUAGCUACAAAAUAAAUAGUAGAAAAAAAUAAUAAUUUUCGUCGAGCUCUACUUCAGCCCAAAGUUCAGUUUCGAUGAAACAGACAUGCGUACAUUACAAUUACAAUAAUUUCAUAACUUCACCUGCUAAUUUAUUAUGUAUGAAACAAAUUAAUUUAAAUGUAAGAUGCUAUCAUUUUAUUUAUUUUCUAUUAAAAAAUUAGCUAAAAAUAUGAGGCGUUAAGCUUUUUCGUCACUUGUAAUAAGAAUGAUCAAUUUGGUAGGCCAAGUUUUUGUUGUAAAACUUUAUGCGUUUUGGUAAUCUAGAUUAGGGACCAUAUUUUGUUACAUUAAUUAUAUACGUAAAAUAAAUUUUGCACACGGGCACGGAACGAUAGAAGUAACUGCACCAUUGAAUUAUAGGACUCGGUAGUAAAACAGGUGUGACAAAAUGCGUGAGUUUCAGUUGUACUCUUCAAAGAGUACUAUGGAAAAUUUACUACACAUGUAACUAUUAACAAUUAUCAUAAAUAUUUAGUUAAUUUCCAGCUAAGUUUAUUUCUAAAUGAAAUAAACGAAGCGGGCAGCGUGCUUGCUAUCUAUCUCUAAAAAAAAAUAAAAAAUUAGUUCAUAUAAAAUUUUCAUAAAUUAUUUAUAAACAUUCCUAGUUUAAUUUUUUUUUUUAAAAAAAAACCUGAUGCGUAGAAUUUUAGGAAUUUCUAUCAUUUCCAAAUAUACUCGUGCUGUUAUGAUUCGUUAGAAAAAUACAGUUUUUUUUUUAAGAGAUAGAUAACACGCUACUCGCUUCGUUUAUUUCAUUUAGAAAUAAAUUUAGCUAGAAAUGUGAAUCAACGAGAAUUCGAACUUGAAUCUCGGAUACCAACUAUCAAGUCUUUUUGCCACUUGCACUAAGGACGGUCAGUGUUAGAAAAAUACAGUUAACCAUAGAUUCUUAGUUUCUUACUAAUGUAACAAAGAGGCGUCGAGGACUAUUAUGACCAAAAUGCCCUCCAGGAGAGUUGUCAGAGACUCAGAGGCCAUAUAAUUAGGGGCAAAAGAGUCAUUUCGCUGUUGCUUCCAACUGAUUAGGAUGGAAAGGGGGGCGAAUUUUCCCGGGGGGGUUGGUGGGCUUUUUGGGCUGUCCUGCUUUUAAAGGCGGGUGCGGUGUCGACGGAACAACACGUGGGGGUUUUGUCGGAUCCGCGUCGUUGAAGCCGCAACACAGCAAACAGCAGACGCCACCGAAUUGGAAGCCGGCACGUGUCCUUUGAAACUUGAAUAAAUACCGGCUUAUUACCCCGCAAUUUCAUCCUUAGUAAAGCUUGUGGUCGCUUGACUGACCACGAACCGCAUCAACGAACCUUAGCGCGCCCAUCCUCGACAGUUCUGUCUCGUCCUUCUCCUCCUCGGCUUCGACAACGGUCACUUGCUUUUUUUUUACUUUAUUUCGAUUUGGGCUCGUUUUCAUCUUUGUUCUCGCACGUCUUUAGUGGUUUACUAUGAUCGUCCUUGGUCUGCGCAUAUUUGGGCAAUGUCUCGCCAGAGUUCAAGAGACUAGUCAAUACAUCUCCAAAAACUUGAAAAAAGAAAAAAGAAAAACCUUUUCAUAUAUAGAAUUAGGUUGGAAUACUAUUAAUAGUAAAACAUUUUUUUUGCUAUCGAGUUGUUAAUCCUUGGAUGAAAAAUUAUAGGGUCAAGAUGAUAUUAGUCGGUUAGAGUUGAGCGGUUCCCCUAGGGUUGAGUGGUCCCCACUGGGUUGUAGUAUUUAAUCCAAUGGUUAGAAAUAAUGAAAAGAGUUGAUCAAAAGGUUAAAAAACUAAUAGCAACAAUGGGAUUUUGCUACUAAUAAUAGCCCAGUCCAACUCUUCAUAUAUAUAUAUAUAUAUANAGUUUUUGGUCUGUUUGGUUCUUAAAAAAUCUAGUUUUUUUUUAAAAAAUCUCUUUUCAAAAUUUUUGAAAAACAGUAUUUUGAUUUUUCUAAAAAUUCAAAAGAAUAUUAAUUUGUCAUAAAUUUUGAUUUUUUUUUCAAAAAAGCUAAUUUUUUGAAACCAAAUGGACAGAAAAUUUAAAAAAAUAGAGAUGUUUUGUUUCAUGAAAAAAAAAAUGGAAAAUAUUUUCUACACUUUUCCGACGAACCAAAUGCCCCCUAAUUUUAUCAGUCCUAUAGUAUAGAUAAUUAUAUUAUUUCAAACUUUAAUUUAUUAUAAUUUUUAAUUUAUUUUUAAUUAUUCUACUAAGUCUUAAAACACAGCUUGAUUGAUUAAAAGAUGAUAUACAGUUACACCAGUACUAUACUUAAUGACACACAGUAUAGUAUGUAAUAAUUAAAAUAUUAUAUUAUUAACAUAAUAAAUUAAAAAUUGAAAACUAAAAUAUCACCAGCCACAUAGUUUAAAACAAAAUGUUUAAUUUAACCAUAUAAUUUAUGAGAGUACCUUGUACAUUUAAAAAGUAUUAAUUUUUUUUAUUUAUUUAAAUUUUCUUUCUCUAUAUGAACUAUACCACACUGUCCUUCUCAUAGAUCACUAAAACUAUCUAAUUAUAGCCUUUCAUGGCACUUAUAUAUGAAAAUUAUUGAAUCUCAAUUCAAUUCCAUUGUUUAGGUGUUUUUUUCCAUAUUAAAUAGGUUUUUUUUAUUCUAAUAAAAAAUACAGUAUUUUAAUCAAAUAAUAAAAAAUAAAGAAAAAAAUUAUGAAGGCACCAAUCUAAUACAACGAAUUAUUAAAUUAUAUUUUUAAUUUCUAAAAUUGUCAAACCGUCCUUAAUUUUUUUAUUUUGGUAAUGUUAAUUAUGUUUCUUAUGGAAUAAAAUAACACUAUUUUGAUAAUGGUGUUUUCUUCUUGCUCUUUUUCUAUUUCUUAUUUUUUUAUUUUUAAAUAUCUUUAGUUAUCAUUAUAGACUUGUCAAAGCUCGUGGCUAAGUUGGAGAAGCAAAGUUUUGUCUAUUUUAAAUUUAAAUUUGAAAGUGAUACAUAUAAUAUUUAACUAUUUUAUUAUUUAUAAUACAUAUUAUUUUAUUUUUAAUAUAUUAUUUAGUUUUUUUAUUAGAUUAAUCUGUUUAAUCAUAUAAAGUUAUAAUCAAAUUUUAAAAUUUUUUCAACCUUCGUAUGUGAUUGCGUUGGUGUAUUGAGAAAAUACAAAAGAAAUAUAUUGUGAUCAUUUAAGUCGUGUUGAUAUAUAUAUAUAUAUAUAUAUAUAUAUAUAUAUAUAUUUUUGAGAGAGUUCAUUUAUUUCAUUUAGAAAUAAACAUGGCUGGAAAUAUGAAUUAACUAGGAUUCGAACUUGGAUUUCGGGUAUCAACCAUCAAAUCCUUUGCCACUUGCUCUAGAGACAGUCGGUGUGUUGAUAAAUAGUUACUGUUUAUUUUCUAUGAUUUUAUUUAAAAAUACAGAAAAUUUUUUUGCCCCUGUUGAUUUUAGACAAUAGACUUUUAUAAAAUUUAUGAUUAUUUCUUUUUUCAGCACCACAAUCAUAAUGGCCCACAAAGCAACUUCUCGCCAAAACCUGUGCCCACGUGGCUAUUUCCGCAACCUUAAUAAAAAAAUUUAUUUGAUUGGUUAGAAAAUAGGGAUAAUUACCUUAUAUACCAAUCAAAAUUUCAAAAAUAUUUUAUUUACUUUUUUUUUCUUUUCAAUAUAUUCCUUAUAUGUUCCUCCGUUAUUUCAAAAAACUCAUACAGUUAUCGCUUAUCACCCGUUAAGUUAACUUGAAUUAAACAUGAAUUAAAUAUUUACCACAGUUCAAAAAAAUUAAAAUGCCACUUUUGUCCUAACUUAAGGGCAAAUAAGAAAUAUUGUGAUGAUAGAAGGGUAUAUUUGAAAAUACCAAAAAGCAAAAUAGGAUAUAUAAGAAAAGUCGGUGAUGAUAGAAAAAUAUAUUUAAAAGGACAAAAUUGUAAUUUUACAGAAAUAAUAGAGUUCAUUAAUAGAUUAGGUUGGAACAUAAAAAUGUUAUUUUUAAUAUUAGCCUUUUAAGAGGAAUAAACCAGAAAGUCGAAAUUUUUUCAGAAAUAUAUAAACAAUUCUCCUUAGAAAAUAAUAGGAUGCAAAUGGGACGUAUUCGGAGGCGGAAGGAUUUCUCUACCUUCCGCUUUAUUUUUUUGUAGAGACGGGACGGAUUCGGAACAGAUUAUUUUUUAUUUUUUUUUUGGCUAUCCCUUACGGCCCAUUCGGAACGGAUCGGACGGGCGGAUUUUUAAGGGAUCAGGACAGAUUGGAGAAAGAAACGGAUCUUUCAUUUUUCGCUUUAUUUAUUUGACGGAUUCGAAACGAAUUCGAGACAAAUUAUAUUUUUCUAUAUUUUUUAUUCUUACUUACUGAUUAGGAUCGGACGGAAGUUCUAUCAAUCCGAAUUCAUUUGCAUUCUUAAAUAUUAAGAACACCGUAUCACCAACAUAG
This 50743-nucleotide long non-coding RNA is filed under the name Ananas comosus (pineapple). Its description in RNAcentral is "long non-coding RNA (ACOM_LNC006561)". The record is from RNAcentral. Lineage: Eukaryota; Viridiplantae; Streptophyta; Magnoliopsida; Poales; Bromeliaceae.